This 59169-nucleotide long non-coding RNA is filed under the name Brachypodium distachyon (stiff brome). Its description in RNAcentral is "long non-coding RNA (BDIS_LNC003038)". The stretch from base 24513 to 24585 matches the Rfam family "tRNA". Lineage: Eukaryota; Viridiplantae; Streptophyta; Magnoliopsida; Poales; Poaceae. The record is from RNAcentral.
CAGUUUUCAGGCGGUGAGCUCCUCUUCCUUGUGGGUCUCGAUGACGAGGUCCGACUGCGGGUAGGCGGCGCAGGUGAGCACCCACCCGGCGGCGACCUGGUCGUCGUCCAGGAAGCUCUGGUCCGACUGGUCCACCUCGCCGGAGACCACCUUGCCGGCGCACGACGAGCAGGAACCAGCCCGGCACGAGUAGGGCAGGUCGAUGCCUUCUUCCUCGGCGUGGUCCAGGAUGUACACGUCGUCGGGGACCUCCAGAUCCACCUCCCCCUCCGGCGUCACCAGCUUCACCUUGUACGUCGCCUGCGCACGAAGCCUCAUGCCCCUCGCCGACGGCGCCGUCAGCGGGAGCACCACACGGGACGAGACGGCCGAGGAAGGUGGAGGGGCGGCUGUGAAGAGGGAGAGGCUGCUCAGCGCGGUGGUCGCCAUUAUUGCAGCUGUGUAAGCUUUCUUGCGAGGAGGAGGAUGGUGUUGGAGAGUGUAUGCAGUAAGCUCUAGCUGGACUGGAGGGGAUGAUGAAGAAGAAGAAGCAGAGGAUGUCCUAGAGGGUGCCACGUGGCCCCUGCAGGUGCUCAGGCUUAUCCUUAAGCUCGGAGCGACCACGGCCACACGAUGAAGGGAUGGACGUCGAUCCACGAGGGCGUGUGGAGGCCAUGCGAUGUAUCCAAUGCGAUUUUGAUCGAUGCACGGCGGCCGUCACAUUUUGGUUUGAGUCAAGCUAGAGAACCUGAUAUGCUGUAAAUUCUUCUAUCUAUAAAUAUUUCGCGACUGGUUUUAGCGAUAGCGAUCAGUCGAUCGAGUGAGUCUAAAUUUCAGUCAGAAAAGAAAAAAAAUCACAAUGAUUUUAGCGAUCAGUCCGUCAUGUGUGACCGGACGAGAAGCCAAGAAGUACACCAGGUUUCACAUUCACAUCAAAAACAGACAAAAAAACUCGAGAUGGAAGCGAUCGUGCCGAGAGUGUGAGCAAAGAUCGCCUUAGUAGACAGUCAGCGGUCUCUCCUCCUCUUGGUCACGCAAAUGGACUUUAAAUUGAGCAGGUCAUGGAAUCCUUCGCUCGGGAACAAUGAACAUGAAAUGCCUUAAAAUUACAAUGCUCCGACCUUCAGUGCAGCUCACCUUUCGUGAGAAGUAAGGCUCCACCAAUCACCGCUGGCGAUGGCACUAGGCAUAUCAUGUCAAGAACAUGUCGAUGAGGCCGGGGAGAAAUGGCAGGACGGACGUCAUGGAGGAGCAGUGGGUGGCGCUAACCCUAGCAACACAAGCUAGGGACAAGGGCAUGUGUAGGCCAUGCGAUGUAUCCUGCGGGGGAGCGAUGGAUGGCCGGCCGGCCAAUGGGGAUGCAUGGUGGCCACCGCAUUUUGGAUCAGUUGAGUGAAGCCACAGAUCUCAUACACUGUUCUGUAAAAAUCUUCUAACCAGAAAUAUUGUUUCGACCGGUGUUAGCGAGAGCGAUCAGUCGACCGAGUGAGUCUAAUUUCAUACAGAGAAUUAUGCAGUUGUUUUUAGCGAGCAAUCAGUCCAUCGUGGCGAUUGGAUGAGAAACAAAGGAGUACAUUGGGCACAAGGUUUGACGUCUAGAUCAGAAACAAUAAAAAAACAUUGAGGUGGAAGCGAUUGGUCUCUCCUCCUCUUAGUUGCACAAGGACUUUAAAUUGAGCAAGCCUUUCAAUGAACAUGAAAUGCCUCGGAAUCACGAUGCUCCUACCUUAAGCGAGAAGCAGCACCAAUCAUUGCUGGCACUGGGUAGAUUGUGUCCAGAACAUGUCCACAAGGCCUAGGAGAAAUGGCAGGCUGGGCAUAAUGGAGGAGUAGUGGCCGGCGCUAACCCUAGCAGCACGUGCAAGGGGAAAGGGUCCGCGGCGGGGAUGCAUGUGGCGUAAGUCGACGGGUCGAGAGAUAUGCGAAGAAAACCUUAAGGAGCACUGAUCAAUCUAGGGAAACCAUGCGGGAUGCCAAUCGAUUCAUAAAAAAAAACGUGUGGUGGGUGCCGAUAGAACUAGGGUAAACCGUGCGGGAGGGUUGCCAAUCAAUCUAGGAAAAAUUGUAGCGGGAAGCAUGCGAGGGGUUCGGAACGAUGUAGAAAAAGCCAUGUUUUUUUUCUGAAAAAAGAAGAGGGGAUAAGCUCAUUGUACCAAGAGAAAAUUGAACUCGCAUCACUAACUCGCAUCACUACUUCGUAGCUAGUAAAAAUACCAUCAUUGCAGAGACACAUCACACACCUGCUGGCUCAACCAUCAAAUCCAUUAAUUUCAGUACGUACAUAAAUACUAGCAGCAGCAGCAGUAAUUUGACCGUAUGGAUCGAUCUCAGGCAGGGGUAGUACAAAAAAGAGGAACACAUAAUAUUACUUGAGCAUUUCAUUCAAGCUCGCUCGCACAGCAGCAACCAAAUCGAUGCACGAUAAGAUCCAUGGAGCUUAGAGAGAUUAUGAUAUCAUCAGACACUCUUGCAAAAGCUGAAGACUAAAAACUUAGGCGGUGAGCUCUUCUUCCUUGUGCGUCUCGAUGACGAGGUCGGACUUGGGGUAUGCGUGGCAGGUGAGCACCCACCCGGCCUCCAUCUGGUCGUCGUCGAGGAAGCUCUGGUCCGACUGGUCCACCUCGCCGGAGAUCACCUUGCCGGCGCACGACGAGCACGACCCGGCCCUGCACGAGUAGGGCAGGUCGAUCCCUUCUUCCUCGAAGUGGUCAAGGAUGUACACGUCGUCGGGGACCUCCAUCUCCACCUCCCCCUCCGGCGUCACCAGCUUCACCUUGUACGUCGCCUGAGCACGGAGCCGGAUGGCCCUCGCCGACGGCGUCAGGGGAAGCGCCACGCGGGAUGGGGCGACGAUUGGGGACGGCGCGGGGGCGGCGGAUGUGAAGAGGGAGAAGGGCGCGCGGAGGCUGCUCAGGGCGGUCGCCAUUGCUGCUGAGAGCUGAGAGCUUGCUUGCUUGCUUGUGUGGUGUGAGGAAGAAGAAGGAGGAUGAGCUAGGGGAUGGAUGAAGAGGGGGGAUAAGUAAGUAAAGGGGGGGGCUGUGUGCCACGUGGCGGGACGUGGGUGGGGGGCUUAUCUUGGAGCGAGGAGCGUCACACGAUGCUCAUCCUCGUCGGCGCCGGGGGGCGUGUGGCUGCCCGGCGACAUCCCGUGAUCUCUCUCGCUUUCUCUUUUUUUUUUGACAAAGAAGGCAGCCUAGUUUCUGCUGGGCCUUUUCCGGCCCAAUUACUAACUAACUACUUCGGUUGCUCGGCUUUCCUUCCAGGCCCGCUAAGCGAAGCCGACGGCAGAUGCAGCCGUGGGCUGGCCGGGGAAUAUGCCGAGUUUUGGGCGGGUUAUUUUUUUUUCCUUUGAUGCGAAUAUGCCUUUUUUUUUUCUUGCAACAAGUCUGAACUUUUAUUUCUACGGACAAGUCUUGUAACUAGUACACGCGGAGAGACUUUUUUGAGUUUUGACGCGAGUUUCUGUUUGACUGACUUGUUCUCUGCGUCCAUUCGAUUUAAUUUAUCGAGACUUUUUCUGUGACAGCUAAAUAUCGAGACUUUGUUGCGGGGUUCUUUUUCGUACCAUUGCUUUCCACGCAUUUAUUAAUUUAUGUGAAUGGAGAAAACGUCUUAAAUCUAUAAUAUCUAUAAAGUUGAUCUUCACUAUUUUUGUUUGCAAGCUUGACAUAUAAGAUGUCUACAUCAUACGCAUGCAUAGUCUCCACAUCACCAUCCACAUCAUGUGUUGUAAAUCACUAGGAAUCCAUUUUGGUGGUCUUUUUGAAUGUCAUAUUUUGAUACUUAGGAUUGUCAACUUAACGUUCUAUAUAAAUAUUUCGCCAAAUACACAUAUUUUCAUGACAUUAUCAAUCUUUUUAAGAUCUGCAAACACACAUAUUUUGAUGUUCAUGUACAUCAAAAUUAUUCCUAUUGUUUUGCUCCAUAGGUGUUAUGAAUGAUAAAAUCAUUUUGUCCUACAAUAUUUAUAUUUCUUUUGCAUUUAACCAUAUUAUUAUCAUGUGUUCCUAACGUCAUAUCCAGAUGUGCAUCUAGAACUUUCCGCGGCAACGCGCGGGGAUCACCUAGUUAUUACUGUUUGCAAUCCAUAUAUAAAGCGAAGAUAUAUAAAGCAAAAAAAAAACAUCACCUAGUUAUUACUGUUUGCGGGGAUCCACACCGUAAUAAUAACCUAAACGAACAUAUAUAACAAUCCAUGUGGGCAGAAAAAAACAUACAUGAGACAUAUAUAAAGCGACGUCAUCAGCUAUCUACUCCAAUUAUCCAACUGUUAAUCUGCUACCUAGAUCGCUUACAUAUGCAGGCCGUUGCAUGUGCCGUGCUAUAUCACGAAGAUCCAAGACAUAAUACGUGAUCUAGACAGACAUGUAGCUGCUCUCUGUCCUUUCUUACUGAUCAAGGAACAUUUAUAAAAUUAAAAUGUUCUCAUCAGUUCCUGCUGAUUGUCUUGAGACAUUAGCAACCGGUUAAUGAUAAAGAAUGGAAAUCAACGGGGGUCGUCAUCAGAUGCAGAAUCUCUUGUAUGCUUAGCUUGUGGAUUACUACUGUAAUAAAUGCGCGUGGCGUAAAGUUUGCACCAAAUCACACAGCGACAAACGGUCAGACAUUGCGUACAUGCAUCCAUGUAUCCCUUCAUUUGACCACAUAAAGCAGUAUUACCUCCGUCCAAUAAUAACGGGGUGUAUUAGCUUUCCUUUGAUCUAUGGUUUGACCACAAAUUAUUCUAAUAAUAUAUAAUUAUAAGGCGUAAGUUGAUAUCCAUUAUAUUUCUAUUCAACGAUAUUUGAUUAUGGUUAUGACUUUGAUCACAUUAGUCACAUAUUAAUAGAGUAAUUUGUGAUCAAAGGCGAAGUACUACAACAGCUAAUACACACUUAUGUUUAAUUAAUUAAAACAGACUUGAUGCUUCCCCUCUACACUUUUCCCCCUGAUUAGUUCCAGCUGCUCCUUCCGAGUAAUUCAAAUACAUCUGCUGUAGUUACCGUUCCUCGCUAUUUGGAUUGAUCGAUUGACUGAUUGAUUAAGGUGUGUGCACGUAAGAAGGUCAAUUAAUUGAUUAACUGACUAAGAUCCGUGUGUUUUGGUCUAGCCAUGCAUGAUUUUCACUUUGCUUGCAAGCAAGCAGAUAGCUAGCUAGGCAGUAUUUCGUGCCUCCCAUGCCAUGCAUCUUGGUUUUCCCAGGCCAAAAAACUGUCUGUCUGUCCGUCUGUCAGGCAGCAAGGGGAAUGGUCGAAUAUUGAACCGGUCAUGCACGGGGUAACUGACGACGCUAGAACACGCAGUAUAUCGUACCACGCACGUCUGCUUCUUCUAUUUUGACAAAAAAUAGCAAAGAUAUUUCUUGUUUUUCCCCUCUUCUCAUUCAUGUUUUCUUGGCAUGCUCUUUCUUUUGGUAUGUGGCAAUAAUGAGCUUAUCCGAGUUAGGAUAAGGUUAGCACAGCCACAAUAUUAAUCAAUACUAUUAGUAUAUCGUCUGGUAGUAAUGUGUUGUUAAGUCAUGAUGGUGGAGAACAACAACACACGCUUUGUUAGUUAGAAUGGCCAGCCAGCUAGCUCAGUUGAAUGCCCUUCAAUCUAUGAUUGAUUUGCGUAUGCAUAUUUCUGUUGAAGCCGUCAUAUAUAUGGCGUGGCAGCUGCAUAUGCAAGAGCUAGUGUCCAACAAACAAGAACCAACCAGACCCAAAGCGUGUCGGCGCCGAUAGCCCGUUCUGCCGUUCCCUUGCGUGGCACGACACGGUAACCAAUCAAAAUCCAUAUCAUUUUUUCCUUUCUCAUAAAAAAUGUCUAGUACAGUCGCAAAAAAAAUAAAUGUUUAGUGCUAUAUACUCCUACUCCUUCCUAAAUAUCAUAAGUUUUUCCUACUAAGUUAUAGUUUUGUCUGUCUUAAAUCAAACUUCUUCAAGUUAUAUAUCUUCAUAGUAUGUCCAUUUAAUAUUGUUGAUCUCAGUAGAUUUUAUUUAACUUAGAACGACACGGACACAAUUUCUUAUACUCGUAGUACUAGUACUAUUUGGGAACGAAGCUGGUACUUAGAGUAUUUUUUUUUCGUGAUUCAAGUAUUUUUAUUGAGUGCCUUAAUGAACUCCAUUUUUCAUUUUCGACUCCGAUGUGGCAUGGGCUUUGCCGCAAGAAAAAAAAACAUCGAAAAAAUGGAAAAAAAGAAAGGAAAAGGAAACGGUAAAGUGUGAAAAGGUUUUAAAAAUGCCAGCGUGGGGUCCACCCAGUUUGAGGUUGACGACGACAAGUAGUUGCAGCAGCAGAGGAGUAUUUCUUUCUCCCUUCCGUGCGCCCAAAUUUCUCCUCUCCCCCCUUCCUUCCUGCUCUCUCUUCUUCGCCAUUCGGGACCUCUUUCUUCUCCAAUCUCGCUACUAACUCCUCUCCGAUCAACCGGUCCAGAGACGGAGGCGCAGCAGACGCACCGAGGUAACACGGAGAUCCAUCCCGCCCAACCAUCUUCUCCUGCCCCCCCUCUCAUGAUUUCUGGUGUUUCUGUUGGUUGUUCUUGUUAUGGGAUUGGAUUCGGUUGGAGCUUGGAAGAACACGCGCGCCGUACAUGCAUUCGGCAACGACAGCGGGGGUUUAUUUCCGAUUUCAAGACCCAAGAACGGAUUUUUGGGACGGAUUUGGGGAUUGGGAUGUUUCUGUCUUCCGUGCCGUCGACUCCCGCCCACCUCUGUUGACUUGGACCUCCGGCCCUUUAAUUUUUUUAUUUUAGGAUUUUUGUUCGGGGGAUUUGUUCUUGUAGUAGUACUAGCUCUUUAUUUUUUUUGGAUCAUUGGGAUUUGGAAGGGACAGCCUGGCCUUCGGGUUGAUCGCCAACGCCCCCGCCUUCGAUUUCACCAACCUUCUUCUUCUUGUUGGUGCGAUUCAAGUUUCAGGCUCCCGAUUUGCUCAGCGUUUCUGACCAUCUGCGCCUCGAUUUGCUAGGUCAAUGCUUGCUCGAUUCCAACCUUCGUGAGCAGUAGUGAUCAAUGGAUGCAUCCCAUUUUCUUUCUCUUUCAAAUUUGUUGACUUGGGAUUUUACUCUAUCUUUUGUUCUCCUGUCGGUUGGUUGGUUUGCUUGUAUUGACCCAGUAAUGGAUGGAUACUAAUGGCGUGCUGCUUGGCUGAACUGGUCAGGCGAAGGCGACCGCCAACCACCCCGGAGGAGAUCUGAGACCCGACCGACCGCCGCCUGCUGGAGGGGGAAGCUGGUGGAGCAGCAGGAAGGGCCGUAUGCUUGUCGCAGGCCAUGUGCCCGGACAUGAAUCCGCGCCAUACAGCAAGGUAGUCUAGUGUUUGAUUCCAGGAAUAUCGCCAUACUGUGUUAUGAAUUUUGUGUCCCAAUUCAUAGUCAUAGGUUCCAUGGGAUGCUCAGGAAGGGCUCUGUAUCAAUGAAAUUUCCUGUAUCAAUAAGCCAAUUGUAGUCUCGGACACCUGGUAUAUGCAGAACCAGAAACUUGCUUAGCCUUUAAUUCAUUAGUGUCGUCUGUUAAACAAUGGAAUGGAAGUUCCUUUAGUUUUCUGGUUUCUGGUCUUGCACGCCUGAAACGUCGGUCAACUCUUCGACACUAACCUGAUGCUGUGUUUGGGUAAACCUGAAUGAAGAUAUUUUGUUUAUUUCUCCGGUCACCUAACCCUGUGGAUAUUUGAUUUUGGACAACCUGGUUUGGUAGAGAAGUGCCCUUGAGGCAAGGGAACUUCCUCAUCAGAUAUUUGUGUCUUUGACUGUGUCUGUGUUUUCUAAAUCCCAUUCUGACCCGGUCUUCUUUUCGUACUGGCAGUCAAGUUGAAUCAGAGGUUCUAGACGGUAAUCGUAACCAUCACAGCCAGCUUGAUGCUGAUCAUCUUGUACAAAUUGGGAGGAGUCCUAUCAAGCGUGGUAGCAACAAUCUGUCCACAGACGACAAUUUCUCCUCGAGUGCCUCUUUGCAUAAACAUGAACAUGUGAGCUCCGAUCCAUCGGCCCCUAAGGCCGAUGACCGCUCAAUUAAGUCUGGUGAUGAUUCUGAUGGGGCUGAGAGUACCAAUGGCAAAAGCAACAAUACGGACUCCCCAGGUACUGAAAAUGAUAGCAUCUGGAUACCACCUGAAGCUGCAGACAAGGGAGAUGAGACCGAGAGUAACAUUGCUUAUGAUGACGACGAUGACGAUUAUGGUGAUGGAAUCAAGUGGGGCCAGUCAAGUUUCCCAGCCGCUGGUGAGGAACACGAGGCCAGCCCCAAUCCUAAGGAUGAGCGAGAAAAUGCAAUGUUGGAAGCUAUGAAUGGACAACUCAAGAUACUCGUGAGUCGGUUUUUGGCCUCUGCUGGUAUCCCCUUUGGAAAAGGAGAGAGUAGUGAGAGUUGGCUCGAUAUUGUGACCUCCCUGUCGUGGGAAGCUGCACUACUUAUCAAACCUGAUUCUACCAUCGGAAAGGAAAUGGACCCUGGCUCUUAUAUCAAGGUCAAAUGUGUAGCAUCUGGUACUCGCUGGCAAAGGUGACACAUUUGUUCACUUAAAGGUUUUUUAAAAUAUAAUGUAUUCUAUCUGCGUGUUUGGUUAUACACGUUCACUUCAUAACCUUGACUGCAGUGAGGUGAUCAAGGGAUUAGUCUUCAAGAAGAACACUGCUCAUAAGCACAUGCCGACCAGUUGUCACAAUCCUAGGCUGCUACUACUGGAAGGAGUCCUGGGGCACUCUGAUGUUGGUUUAUCAUCGUUUAAUUCAAUGAAUCAGGUUGGUCCUUUCAUAUACAUAUGCACAUUGAAUUGUUUAUAGUAAACGCCGUUUAUUUUUGUUGGAUAGAAGAUUAAGACAUCUGUUCCGUGCCUUUAACAAUUAGGAAAAGGACCAUCUGGAGAGGACUAUAAGUAAGGUGAUUGAUAUAUGCAGUCCCAAUGUUAUCAUGGUUGAGAAAACUGUUUCACGAGACAUACAAGAACUUCUAUUAAGACAAGGGUGUACACUAAUUCUUGAUAUGAAGCUCAGCCGGUUGCAAAGAAUUGCACGCUGUACGGGUUCUCCUAUAAUAUCAUUUCCAGAAGUUCUGGAUAAACCGAAGCUGAAGCAGUGUGACUACUUCCAUAUUGAAAAAUUCAUUGAAGAACACAACGAUGCCAGUGAAGGUGGGAAAAGACUGUCUAAAACAUUAAUGUUCUUGGAAGGAUUUCCCAGGCCAUUGGGUUGCACGGUAUGUCUACCUAACUAGUAUUACAUGUAUGAUGCAUUUUAUACAUUUUCAGUUCCAUUCUUAUUUUUUCCCUAAGAUUGUUUAUUUUCCUCCAAAAGCAAAAUAAAUAAACUAUGCCACGGAGUAUUUUUCCUAUGUCUUUUCUUCCCUGAAAUCUCCCCAACCAAAGCAUCCCUUUGUAUGGAAGUGAAAUCCAUAACCAGAAGUUGUUCCAGCUUACUGUGGACAUGUCUAUUACUUCGACCAGUUAUUACUUCUUAAUAGCUGGCUUGUAGACUGUAAUUAAACAUCUUCUCUAUUCGAGUGGUGUGUGGCCAUAAAAUUUUACGGUUUGACUAAUAAGGCAGAGAACCAAGGUGAUUACAACUUGGCAGGAGCUAGAUACACUUAUGGUGCUUUAAAGUAACAAACCUGGUUUUGUUUGUGGUGAGAUCCAUAGUAGUGGUAUGUGCUUUUAUCAAUUAUUACGAUGAGUGAAUACCAAUUGAUAGUGAUAUAUUCCUGCAUAUUAGUUACAUUCCACUGAACAAAUAGUAAGUGACAGACCAAAUUGUGUUUCAUGGAUUGUUAAAUUAUCUGAGUGACAAUGGUUCCUUUCUCAUCCAGAUACUGCUCCGUGGAGCAAAUACUGAAGAAUUGAAGAAAGUCAAGCAAGUCAUGCACUACACAGUCUUUGCAGCAUACCACUUGAUCCUCGAAACGUCUUUCUUUGAAGAUCAGCGGGUAUUCUUAAAUGAUAAAAAUGUUUCCAAAGAAAAUUAUGUCACCGCUAUGGUAGGGCCUUCAGCAAUUGGUGAUGAUACGGCUGUUCUGGGUUGUGCCAUCCCUCCUUCACAUGAUGAUUCUCCAGCACUUAAAUUAUACCAUGCCACUUCUAAUAUCUAUGCGGAUGGGAAGAAAUCUCUCAGUUAUACAAAUGUAGAUGCUCCAGUUUCAAUAACAAACAGCUCUUUGGAUGAACUUGGAGAAGGUGCAAAUGUCCGGCAUAGCUCAACAUCACCCCUUCACACUGGAAGGCUACCACCACCAGUAUCAGGACCAUUAAGAAAAUUUGCUGACAAGUUACAUCGUCAUAAUAUUUAUUUACCUGUCACAUCAUUCCAAGAAACAACUGAUAAUAAAAUAGAAGGCAGGGUUGAAUCUAGGAAAGAGAUGGUUAGUAAUGGAUUUCAUGUUGGGUCAAAGGUGGAAGAGUCUGCAGCUUCCAGUGAAAUUUUGGAUGACACGAAAGAUCUCUUAAAACAAGAAAGGAUCCAAGAAGUAAUGCCAUCAGGUUCUUCUGGGCAUGGCAAACAUGAGGAAUCAUCCGCUAUGGCUGAAGAUGGGGAACAUCACAGCACCAGUAUCAUCAGCAAUGGGAACAUUUCUAACGAAGAUCAAGCCGAUGAUGCACUUGAUUCUGACAGUAUACUGAUUUUGAUGUCUAGCCAAUGCAUCACAAAGCAGAUUAUAUGUCUCCCGAGCCAACUGUGCCGUAUAAAAUACUACGGGAACUUUGAUUUGUCCUUGGGGCGAUAUUUGCAAGACAUUUUGCAGAAUCAGGUAACAACAGUUUACCACUUCUUCGUUUGUUCACACAUUGUUCUUAUUUACACUGAAUAUUAUAUUUUUGUGCUAGUAAUGUACAUUUUAUUUCGGCUCCAUUGAUACUCUUUUUUGCGAUGUUAUUUGGCUCACUAAUAUUUAUUCGUACUAGAAAGCAAGCUGCUCAUCUUGUCAAGAGCCUCCAGAGGCUCACAUAUAUUCUUACACUCAUCAAAAUGGGAAUUUGACUGUUCAAUCAAAGAAUUUGGUGUCCCAACAUCGCUUACCUGGCGAAUCCGAAGGAAAAAUAUGGAUGUGGACUAGAUGCUUGAGAUGUGAACAUGAACAUGGGACAUCUAAAUCGACUCCUAGAGUGUUAAUAUCAUCUGAAGCGCGCAAUCUCUCUUUUGGGAAAUUCCUGGAACUCAGUUUUUCAAGUCACUCCGCAGCGAGAAGGCUAUCCAUAUGUGGGCAUUUGGUGAACAGGGACUGCUUGCGUUUUUUUGGGUACGCUCGAUGUACUUUUCACAUCAAACAAAAUUAUUUUUUGGCUGCCUUUAGAUGUAACUAUUUCUUUAAUGAUAAUUUCUUUUUCUUACUGACUUCAGGUUGGGCUCCAAAGUUGCAAUGUUCCGCUACUCCUCAGUAGAAAUUUACACUACCUGCAAACCACCACCCACCCUCCACUUCGACAACCCUAGCAGACAGAAUUGGUUUGAAAAAGAGAGGAUACAUGUAUGUCUUAAUACUCUCUACCAUUACCAUCUCAUAGUUGUCUCCAGUACAUGCAUAGUAAUACUUUUUUUUUUGCACUUUCAAAGAUUCUUGCUAGAGGUAUGAAACUUUUUUCUGAGGUAGCAACCUUGCUACAACUCUUGAAGAAUCAGCAUCAUGAUGUGACAGCAACCAGUUGUGGCACAUUUGACCCUGUUAAGGACUUCUCUGAACUCGAAGAGUUGUUGAUGAAAGAAAAGGCCGAUUUUGAGGUAGGCAUCCUUGUCUUAAUUUCUUUUAGACUGGAACUUUGUAUGCCAAUGAAUUUGUUAUGUUUAAUUUAUAUUUAUGGGUUACUAUCUUUAUUUUUAUGCAGGAUUCAUUAGUAAAGACAAUCAACCAAAAUGGGAGAUCAUCCUCAUCUGUGCAUGAGCUUCUUAAUAUAAAUUGGUCUUACCAGGAUGUUCUACUUGAACUUUAUGUAUGGGACCGUCGGCUCGACGAACUUUCUAUGUGUAAAUCUGCUGGGCAAGGGAGUGUUGGUAAUAGCAAUAAUCCUAGCGGAACUGCAGACAAGAUUUCUGGGGCCAACUACGAGAUUGACAAGAAAAUUGGUGAACUGACGUGUGAUAGAACUAUGACAGCUGUGAGGUCAGAUGGUACCACUGAUUGCACUGAUUGCACAAGUAACAAUAUUCCCAUUGACCAUCAAUCUGGUGAGACCGCAGCACACUUGCUUGAUGAUAGUCAGGGAGCUGGCAACUCUGAACCUUCUUGCAGUGAAGGUAGUAAAGAUGAAGGAUCUCGAUCUCUCAUUGCUCCUGAUCAAGUAGAGGUAGAGAGCACGCCACAAAACCAAAAAGUACCUUCACUUGAAGUUUCAAGUCAUACAGAGGUCCAGGGUAACGGGGUAGUUGCACAUCCAGUUUCCAAGGAACAAGAGCCUUCAAGCACUCUCCAGAAGUUCAGAAGUACUGAUUGGGAUGACAGUGAUAGAUGGAUUUGGAGUUCAUUUUGUGAGUCUCAACUGGCUUACAGGAAGGACAUUCAAAUGGGAUGUUUGGAGAAAUUUUAUCUUGUUAACCAUUACUCCCCAUCUCACCUCUCCCCCUUGUUUGAAAAACAUGAGGAGGUGGACACUCCUCAGUUCACAGUUGGCCCCGGUGGUAAUAUUUUAUGUGUAUUGGAGCAUGAGGUAUCUAGUAUAAUAGCUCGUGCUCUCGCCAUAUCUGAGGAACGUAGGCAGGAUACCAUAGUCGAGAACGAGACGGGGGAGGGCAGGGUGGAGCAUGGUAAAACGAUGGAGAAAUCCUAUAGCUUUUUCUCUGAAGGUUCUUUUAGCUCGUCACCAUGGUCAUCUAUUGGAUCAUUAGAUUCUGAAGCAAGCUUUUCAUCUUCUAUUUCGUCAUAUCCAUCUGACGACCUCUCUGGUUAUGAUACCUUGCCUUUAUUGUCCUUGGUACACCCAGAAAUCACUGUGAACGGAAAAGUAACUCUCAGAGGCAAAUAUUCGGUUACUAGUAUAUAUUCGAACCAAUUCUACCUUCUUCGAAAGAAGUGCUGCCCAUCUGAGCUUGCAUAUAUUACUUCCUUAAGCCGCUGUAAGAAGUGGGACGCUCAAGGUGGAAAGAGUAAGGCUUUAUUUGCAAAGACAUUGGAUGACAGGUUCAUCAUAAAGCAAAUCAAGAAAACAGAGUUUGAGUCCUUCAUAACAUUUGCCCCUGAUUACUUCAAGCAUGCUUACCAUUCUCUAGACACUGGCAGCCAAACUUGCCUUGCCAAAAUAUUAGGAAUCUAUCAGGUAGGUUUUUUUGACAACUGAUUUCUAUUCGAUUUAUUUCCUGACUUCUAUUGGGUUUUCAUAUGACUUGUUGUUUCAGGUCAAGCAAAUAAGGCAUGGCAAAGAGAUCAAAAUGGAUCUGAUGGUGAUGGAAAAUCUCAUGUUUGGGCACAAUAUUUCACGAAUUUAUGACCUUAAAGGUGCUAUUUUUUCACGACACAUCGCCAAAUCAAAUGACCCUGACACUGUUUACUUGGAUCAAAACUAUGUUGAGGACAUGCGUGUAUCUCCGAUCUAUAUUGGUGGAAGAACGAAGCAUCUUUUGCAGCGUGCAAUCUGGAAUGACACAUCAUUCCUCACUGUAUGUAUAAUGCAUAUCCUAUAUCUGCAGAUAAUCAUGUUUUCAAAUAAAUAUAUGUCCUAACAAAAUUAUUGUACUUGCAGUCAGUUAACGUUAUGGACUAUUCUCUGCUUGUGGGAGUGGACAAAGAAAAGAAUGAACUUGUGUUUGGCAUCAUUGAUUAUUUGAGGCAAUAUACUUGGGACAAACAGCUGGAGACAUGGGUCAAGAGUUCUUUGGUUCGAAAAAAUGUUUCACCGACUGUAAUUUCACCCAAGGAUUACAAGAAAAGGUUUAGAAAGUUCAUGGCCAAGUACUUCCUCACAGUUCCGGAUACUUGGAGUCCCGAGAAUUCUUCUGGGCCAUACAAAUCCUUUGGCCAUAGCAAUAGCAAGUUGGUAGAAGCCGAUAAUGAUGACAACCUGCUUCAGCAUCCAAUUGAAGCUGAGGCAUGUGUCUAGUUCUGUUCAGGCUGGCAUGUGUCUAGGCUAUUCAGGACUCCUCUGACAGUGCUGUUGAAGCCUAUCCAGUCGUCGUCGUUGUUGUUUCUUUGGCUUGUUUUCGCUUUGUAAAAUUGUGUACAUAUGAGGGCCUCACAAUUGACCUUUCCAGAAGUUUGCACCUUUUAGGCAGAUUACUGGGCAAGUGAGGCCCACAGUACAUGUACCUAUACAAAUGUAAAUUGUUGAUUUCACAAUUAUUAUAGUGAAAUUUACAAAAUUGGUAUGAUUUUUUUGGGAUCUACUAGGCUGAAGCCUUUUCUACUUGCUUAAUUAUUUCUUAUAAUGCCUGACACGGCUAACCGUCCAUGUUGGACUUCUGAUCUCUGUUCAAAUUUGAUCAGUUUGAUCCGUAUUUGACUUUCAUUACUCCGCUAUAGUUACAUUCAUGGAAAUGGCCAAUUUAAUGCCUCUUGAUCUUACUGCACACCUUAUGAAGAACAUUUUGUUGUCAGAUGGACAUUGUCUAUUUUGUUGUGUGCACCCAGUCACUACAAUUUUGCAGAUCUGCUGGUAUGAUAUGUACUGCUUACUUUCUUUCAUCAAUCAGUUCCACGUAUUAUUUAAAAUGAGUGAAAUCAAGUUAAACUUGUUUGUUCCAAGUUUGUUCCUUGAAUUUUGUUGUAAUAUGUGUUUAUGCCCCAAUCUCUCUUAUGAUAUCAAGAAACAGAAUAUAAUUUGAUUCCUGUUUGUUUUCAGGAAAUAACUCACUGGGGAGGACACCACUCUUUAUAAGUCCUGCAUCACAUAGUAGCUGCCUGGUGACAUGCCUCAUCUAUGCAGUUGGUCUAUGACUCUAUGUUCUAUACUUUAUUGCUAUAUAACACUUGAUAUUUUAUAUUCUCAGCUUUGACGAGGCAAAUUGUUAGUAGAUCCUAAAAUUAACUAUUUAUUUAAUUUACACAGUACACACUUUGCUGAUAAGGGAUGCUCCAAAGUAAUGCUCCAGUUCCUUUUCUAGAACCACUGGUUAUUUAAAUUGGUGCAUUUUCAGGAGAAUUAUCUAGCAUCCUGUAAUGCAAUUUCUGAUUGAUCAGAUAAUUGAUGGAAAGAACUUUCUGUGUAUUCACUUAGCAGUCUGGCUGAUACUUAACAUCUACUAGUGUGUGCAAUCCAUAGUCUGGACCAUGAACAUCGGCAGGAAGGGAUUCCUGCAAAUGAACAUGUGAGACCUCGGUGAGUUAGUUCAUUUUAAGCUUUCUUAUUUUCUACCCUUGCAAAACUUUGUUGACUAAUCCACAUAACCCUUUGUUGAACUUUAUAGUGCGUAGCACAUUUUUCUGCAGCUAUAAUCUUAUCAUACUAUCUUAUAAAAAUUCCUGAUGAAUGUUAAACAUGUGUUUUUAUCAUUUGGCUGCAUUGGUGGAAUGGUAGAUAGUAACAGUAUACAUUUCCAAGAAAUGUGGUAUUUGAAUAUAGUCCCAUUGAUCUUCCCAAAGAGUUGCAGUGUGUGCGUGCUUCUUUCCGAGAGUCCUAUAUUUGCAUUUAUUUUUCACUGAUUGUUUCAGUGAGUAUGAAACUAUGAAUUCAUAUGCAGUGUCGCUUGUGAAGUUGGCUUUGCAGCAUUUAUCUCAAGACAUUCCUUUUUCCCUGUCAUUUUAUUACUAACGCCGUCCAAACAUAACGAGCACAAUGCAAAACCACCUUCGCCCACUUUUCCAAUUGGAGUUGCUAUUUGUGUCUUAAUACAAUUCUUUUUUUGCUUCCAAAAUGGCACAUAUACUGUUGUUAUAUAUGUGUGUGUUCAUGCUAAACUUUCUAGCUCAUGCCUUGUGAUCAGGAGAUUAUGUGUUGUCACAAUGUGCUUGAGAGACAUUCUUGGGCAUGUCGUGCCACUUGCAUCUUUGUUUUCAUGACUGAUGAAUACACUGGGUUACGUGACAGAUGAACUCAUGUUAGUUUUUCGAGCAGAGUCUACCUCUUGCUCAUUUGCGAGCAGUACUGAUUUGAAUAAAUGAUAGUACAGUACCUCAGAAGUCAGAGCACUGCUUGGAACAGGCGGUAAUUUGCUUCAACUGUAAUCUACACAUAUAGUCACAUCCGCUGAAUCUUACAUAGUUAACUUUUAAACAUGAAUAUAAGAAAUUGUUGACACUUCCUUCCCUAUAGUAGCAAGAGGCAGUAGUCUGCUAUUGUACCAAUCAUCAGUCAAGGAGGUAAUCCACAAGAAUGGGGUUGGCAUGCAUCUCUUUUCUCCUUUUCACUUUUGCAGGAGGGCAUCAAAUACAUUGGCAGUAAGAGUAUGACCAGAGGGAGGACUUUUAGAUCAUUGCAGAGUGGCUCAUCAUGAUUGCGUGGAUUCUAUGCAAGUCUUGUCAUUGAGAGGGAGGUUACAAAAGGAUUGUCUGGAGAAGGUGAUAAUCUGUGUAAUGAUGCUGAUCCUAACAUCACUGAUUCAUAUAGAUUGGCACACCAUAUUUUUUUUGAAAGAGAGAGAUUGGCUCACUAUAUUUUGAAUUCUGGAUUUAGGAUUGUAAUAAGGAAUGAGUUUUCUCUCGUACAUCUUUGAGAUUUCAUUAAUCAUUUUUUUUUGCAGUGCUACUCUCAGUCUGUUUGAAGUUCCCAUUAACUGCCGAUUUUGAACAGUAAGCAUUCAUCCUAGGUGCUAAUUUUAUUACACUGCACUGCAAACUCUUUCAAUAGCUCUUUCAAUAGCUGAAUGCUUUGUAGGAAUAAUGUCGCAUUAGAUUUUUCUCAUUUCAUUUUUGAAUUUUUUUUGUUUAGUAGCUAAUGAUGAAUUGAUCAAAUCUGAAGAGAGAACUGUGGCAUGGCACUGAUGUUUUCUUGGUUGCAGAUCCUGCUUUAGCAAAAAGCAGUUGGUGUCGCCAUUUCAGUAUAAGGGAUUCGAUUUGGUCGAUUUAUGCUCAGCUUUUUCCUGGUACUGGCAGAAGCUGCCUGAACCCCAAAGUAUGGAGCAUGGAUUAUGCUGCUGCUUACCAUCAUUUCUCUACUGUAUAACCCUGUAAAGCAGCUCAAAUCAAUCAAUUUUGCAUUGCAGCAGUUGAGGGCAUUCUCCUUUUUCCUGGAACCGAUGCCUUCGAGUUCAAGGUGAUCAUCAUGUCCCAAUUCCAGAAGGCGAUCUCAUGAUUCUACAACCAAAACGAUGACUGCUGUCGGAGAUCAUAUGGAGAAUCAUGUCAGGUAACUCGUUUUUUUUUUCAAAGCCACACUAAGGUGUGUAUUGUCCCUAAUUCCUUGCCUUGUCAUCUUCUCUAUUUGUAGUAAAAUAAUCAAUCUUUACUCUGCCAGUCGCCAUGGCAACUAGUGGAGUGAUCAAUGAUAAGGAAGGUGAUUAGCCUACCACCAAAGAACAAAAAGAAGACGCAAAAGAUGACAAGCACAAGAGUUCAUUUUAACACCCCUAGUUGCACCCUUUUUGUCUCUGUCCAACAAGCUGCCCACAUCUCCACAGCACUUUUCCAGUUACAGAAAAGGGCAAAGAGUCGCUUCCCUUUUCCAAUGCAGAUUCUUCCUUUCACUAUCAACCAUUAUAUCAUUCAUCCAUGGAAGAAACUCCGCCUAGAUCAAUGCAUUAAAAAUUACUACACAUAUUCUGAUUCUGAUGCUCAUAAUAGGUAGGCCUAAGCACAAACUGCCUGCCAUCACCAUUGCUGCUUAAAGAAGACACGAUGCAAAGAUGAUAGACACACACACUAGCUGGCUAGCUGCUAUGGUAGCUAGAGAGAGUAGCUAGAUUACCCAAUCACAAAAGCAAAAAACACCUACAUUUUUCUUAAAAUUGUUAGCCUAGUUGUACUAUCUACCAUGCCCUGUUUGUUUCUGCUAAUAGCUGCUGCAAACUCCGAUCAGCUUCAGCGAUGGCUGCACAGGUCAGACAGCAUCUUCCUGCCUUCCACAAUCUCAUCAAAGAAGUCAUCCAGUUCGCCGACGACACUCUCCGCACCUGACUGCAGCACCCCAACCCAGCCUUUGAUGAUCUCCACCCUCUCGGCGAUCUCACCGGGGUCGGCAUACCCUGUGGCGAUGACCCUGUCGAACUCUGCCUUGAGGCUCUCGAUGCCGGCCCUGGCCUGCCGGAACUCGUACAUCAUGACGCCAGAGCCAGAGUGCUGCCCGGCUACUGCCUCCAUCUCCUCGGCGACGCGCUGGCGCAGGCGCCCCAUGGAGGAGACGUAGCCAGCACCCGUGGCACGGAACAUGGGCGCACAGCCAAGGUCCGGGAGGCAGGAGACCGUCCCAGAGAUGAGGAUCAUGAGGAGGAAGGAGCUGGCGUUGCGCAGCGCGUAGAGCACGCCCCGGAAACCGUUGAAGGCGUUGAGCUUGAACUCCACGGGCGACCGGUCGUCGAGCAGCAGCGACGCUGGGUCGAUCCUAGCCUCCGCAAGCGCCCGGUUCUCCUGCUCCAGCCCAACAGCCUGCCGCCUUGGCGCGUUGAUCGCACGCAUCACCUGCCAGCCAGUAGGUGUCAAUGAUGUGAUCAGAAUCAGAUAUAUUCAGAUCAAUAGAGGCAGGGGGGGAUCGUCGAUCGGACUGUACCUGACGGGCUGUGUGUGGGUUGGGGCUGCAGAGCCAGUCGUCGAAGGCGGCAUCGAUGCGGGUGGCGGAAGCGCAGUAGGUGUCCAGCGCGGUGGCGCCGGCCUUGACGACCUGGCAGGCCUCCCAUAGCCGGGAGGUCUCGUCCAUGUACUCGUCCAGCCAGCUCUCACCGGGCGGCAGGUGGAGCCGCUGCACCAGGUGGACGAGCUGCGAAUGCAGGGACCGGAGCAGCGCCGCUGCCUGUUGGAGGAACGGCGCCGACACGAACGCGCCCUCCGGCGACGAUGACGAGGCGGCCAGCGUGCCGUGGAGUUCGUCCAGGCCGUGCGCGAUGGAGGAGUAGAAUCCGUUCAUGGCGACUCUAUUUGUUGUAUAACUGGGAGCAGCAGAGCAGAGCAAAGAUCGAGAUGAGAAGAGAGUGUGGUGCAUGGGAGUGGAGGCUCUGCGCUGAGCUGGAACAGAGACUCUCGGUCAGCUUAUAUAGAGGAAGACUAGAAGACUGGACUUAGAGUGAGGGCAGUGAGUUGUACUAUGGGGAAGCAAUGAUGGUUUGUCCGGCGGUCAGGGGGAAGGAUGAUUGGGGACUGGGCUGGGCAGCCAUUGCCAGGACUCCUGUAUGUGCUCCUCCUCUUCAUGACCAUUCUAAUGGCAUUGCCAAUGCUUGAGAGCUAGUCCUACUAGCAUGCAAUGGAAUGCAUGGGAAAAUGUACUUACUCAGCCUAGCUAGCUGCCACAGCCAUUUUAAUUUCCCCAUGAAUAUCCCACCAGUUAAUUUCCCCAUGAAUAUCCCCCCACUCCAGUACUCCUACUCCAAUUCUUGUCUUGAGUUGCAUACUGCUGGUCCAGAUUCAAGGGUAGGGACCAUUUGCCAUUGACAGUGUACUACUGGCGAUUGAUUAUGAAGUUGUUGGUGCUAAUCAAGGACUCACUAGUGCUACUACUACUUGAGCAGACAGCUGUCAUCUGCUGCUGCUGCUGCUUUCCAUAUUCUGAAUCCGGGUGGGAGGGAGGAAAAAGGAGGGGGGCCAAUGUGCCGGGCCUCUGCUGGGAGCACCAUCAAUAAGCAGCAAGGAAGCAAAGAGAAGCAAGCGCUGGCUGCACUGCACUCCCCUGUCUGGCCUUCCCAAUGCACUCAGCCACCUGUUAGUCCAGAAAGGAAACAUUUUUCCUGGAUACAUGAACUCUAUGGAGUAUAUUGACCAUUGCAGCCACUGUGGGUACUUCUUUGCAACAACAUAUAUAUAUAUAUAUAUAUAUAUAUAUAUAUAUAUAUAUAUAUAUAUAUAUAUAUAUAAUAUAUAUAGUAUGGCAGCUAGCUGCAAGCAAAUGUGUUUGUUUUCUUGUUCUUUUUUCUUUUGUGCAGGCCUGAAGAGGAGCUAGCUUCUUCUUCUUCGAGAUGCAUGGGAUGCGUUGCUGCAUGAGCCAAUAGGAGCAGAGGAGUAUGAGGACAAAGUUUCAAAGGUGGCAGGGAGUCCUAGAGAUGUGUCGACAAGGUGAGCUGUACUCUACUGCUUACUUGCCCGUGGAUUAGUGGGGCACUUAAUUUAAUUUGCUUGAAUUGAUGUUAGGAGGAAUGAUGGGUUUCCUUGUACCCGUACAAAUCUCUCAGUCCGCGGCCAACACAACCCCCAUGCUUCCAUGCAAUGCAAUGCCAAUGCAAUGGCUUGGCCGCCUUUUGAGGUCCUUCUCCCUCUCGCCCGGGCCUCCAGUCCGGCAAUCAUGCCCAAUAUAUGCUCUCGUGCCCCCUUCUUCUUCCUCUCCAUUAUGACUACUCCGUUUCUCUAGGGCACACGUCGGGCCCCGCAUGUCGGUCAAGCCCUUGAGAAACUCAUGACAGUCUUAAUUCCAACACACAACUUCUACAAAAAAAAAAUGUUUCUAUUGUGAUGAUACUGUGUAAAUUAAGAAGACUACAAAUUAGUCUGGAUUGACAACAUUUCUAACAUAGUCUAUGUUGCUUGUAAAACAUGCAUGCUUGUAGUAUACUAGUACUGCAUAUAUGCGGUGGCUUCAUUAUAGUAUUAGGAUUGUCUUUUUGGUCCAAUCCAAUUCAAACACCACAGCUUCAUCGGUGCAUGCAAUCCAUCUCGUGGCAAGUGCUAAACCCUUUUAAGAAAUGGAGCUCGUGGGGUUUUGGGAGGAGGCGAGGGGGAUGUGGAUUUGGUUGGGGAAAUCAAAGGGGAUGUGUGUUGUUUCCUUUGCCCUAACCAAGAACAAAGAUUAAUUAAGCUAAAUCUUACUCCAUGAUCCAUGCAUCAGCUAGGAGCUACCUUUGAAAUACUACUACUACUUGGCCAGCCGUGCCGUACAUGCUGCGUGGUUGACCGGUGGGGGUCCAAGCACCACUCAUCGGCCGGCCAUGAAUAUUCUUCUUGUCCUCUUCCUGCUCUCUCUCUCCAGUCCUAUAAUCCAUGCAUUCAUCUCACUAUGUAUAUAUAGGCUCAUUGCAAAUUAAACAGAUCAUAAAAAGCAAAGAUCAUCUGUUUUUUUUAUUUAGAUCAAGACGGUUCGACUCCCAUAAUUGAAUUAGAUGAAAAGACCAUCUGCUAAACGUUUGCCAAACAGAAGAACAUACAGUUCAUAUGCAAAACACUUUUAUUGUCGGAAAAAGCACAUUUUUUUGGUGUGUGUUCUAUCUAAUCAACUCUCUGUGUCUUAUGUGUUAUAUACUAUCUAAGUAAACUGUUUCCUGCAAAUUUUUCCGUGGCGCGGUCUCUAUUCCGCAUCCGCAAUAUAUCCUCUCAAUUUCUUCACAUAUAAAUUUCCAUGAAUUAAUUUGGUUUUCAUAGCAACGAGAUCCAAAAGGGCAUUAAUUAUCUGCCUGCCUGCCACAGUAAUUUUACUUCUUGGAUAUACACACAUAUAUAGUACACUUACUAUUGGCGACCUUGUCCUGGACGCAUAACUCCAUUGUUUGCUCGAACUUGUAAAACAGGUGGUCACGGAUAUAUCUACGUGGCACACGUAUGCAUGUCUAGUCCAAAUUAGCAUAUGGGUUGGCGGCAACAGCAUGCAUACAUGAAAGCAGCAACGGCUAGCUUUUAAUUUAGCAUGUCUGGUCAGUCACACACACACACACACACACACACACACACUAAUUUUCUCUCUUCUUUUUUCAAAAUUUGUACAGACAUUAUUAUGAAAAUUAGCAGUACUACACUGCCAGUACAGAGUACUACUGCUACUGCUAGGUCUCAUGAUCAAAGUUGCUAGCUUAGCUAGGUGUGCUGUAGAGCUGUAGGAGUGUAGUAGUAGCUUGCAAUGGUGUGGCUGCUGGCUUGACCAGAACUUUGAAAAAUGCAUGCAAUGCAUCUAUGCUUGGACAGCAGCAGUCUACUACUACAAGUACUUAUCACUCUACAUACAGUACACAGAACAGAGAUCAAAGUUGCUGCUGCUGUUGUUCUUCUGAAGCAGCAGCCAUGCAUGCAUAAGGCUGACAGACGGUGGUGUUCUGUAUUAUAGCGUAGCUGGUUCUCGUUUGAUUACUGCUGUCAAGAGAACCCCGUGCGAUGCUACGGAACAACGGAAAGUGUAUCAAGCACGAGCCGGUGGAGGCGAAGUCUGGACAUUGAUCAACCGGCGCUCCCCUUUGAGUUGAGAUCUGCAGGCGCCUCCUCAGCCUCGUCAACGACGGUGUGGUUCUCGCUUCCCAGCAGGGGUGGAGAUCUCCAGCGGGCUUCUGCUUCCCUGUCUCCGUCACGCCUUGUAUCCUCGAUGGGGGUCUCUGGGUCGGUGGUCAGGGGCCGGACGAAAUCCCUGCCCGGCUGCGUCCGGUGCCAACGACGGCGACGCCUACGGGCGCCUUUACCUCCUUGGAGGCGUGGUCGUGGCCCCUGACCAUUCCUUCUCCAUCCUCGGGCUCCAGGGGAAACCCUUGGUUCGGUUUGCCAUGGCUCCGAAUCAGGCAGCAGCAGCGACACCUUGGCAUCGUAUCCUCCUUGGAGGCACUGCUUUGGUAGCCCGUGGGAGUUCGAGUGUCGUGGCAUGAGAUGGCAGCCUCUCUAUUCUUGGCGGCGAGGCUUGGUGGUAGCGCGAAGCCGGUGUUGAUCCUCUGCUCUGGGCGUUGGACUUCAAGGCGCGAUGUUCGUCACUAUCGGUUCCCUAGAUGAUGCAUCCUUCCCAAUUCAGUCUGGUCCAUUCCUCUACUUGCCGACCGGGGCUUGAUCUGCUUCCAGAUUGGCCUCCCUUCUUAGGCGUAUUGUUGGGGGUUGGCCAGGGUGGUCUUGGUGUCAUGGUCGCAGAUUUGGGUGUCCUGCAGCUAUCGUGAAGCGGCCUUCAAGGUCUUGUGCUCUGCCUUCUUUGCCCUAGGGCUGGAGGUGGGCAAGGCGAGUCUCAUGUCAUUGUGGUUUGAAGCUUGGUGGUGUCUCUUUAACCUGCUCUGACCCCAAGUUGGCUCAAGAUCUGUUGGCUGUAGGUCUAGGCUAGCUAGGGCUCCGUCUUAGGUCGUCCGGAGAGGACGGUCAUGUUUUUUCUUGCUUGGCCUCGCCGUUGGCGGGUGCGGUGCAUAUGUUGUAAAUCUUGUAACUUUUGGUUACUCACGCUUCUUUGCGCUUUCUUCUUAAUGAAAAUGACAUGCUUCCAGGCGUGUUCGAGAAAAAAAAAUUAGAGUCUGUUUUGAGGAACAAAUUGGCAGUUAAAUGCUUGAAGUUCAGUUCAGUUUGCUGCUGGAAUAAAGAAGAAACAACAAUUUUGAAUUGCGAUGAGAUCUAUCGAAGAACACAGCUAGCUCAUAUAUAAUGCUCUCCAUGGAAUUUGGGGUGAAAAAGGGAAGGAAAGAAGAGGAAAGCUGAAAAGAGGCAACUAAAGGAGAUGCUAGUCAAGUGUUCUCCAAAUUUUGUGUUGAAUGGCGGCUAUAUUCAUGAGUAGCAGCAAGUAGCCUAACUAGUCAAGUGUCCUUGCUGUGAUGAAUUGAAGCAGGCAGGGCAGAGCAGAGCUGUGUGUCCUCCUAGAAGCUAUAGCUAGACCUGAAGAAAGUGCAUAUCCUCCUCUAUCACUUUUCUCACCGCCAAGUUGUAAAGGGGAGAAAGACAUGCAUGGAAACUGCAAAGUUGCCUCGCUUUUACAAACCAUUGCCUUUUUGCAGGAUCUGAUCUCUAUUUCCUUUCCUGUUACCUCUCCAUGCAGCUGCUAUGCUGCUAUAGUAGCGUAUGAUCUUGGCCAUCCAUGCAUUUCUCCGUCUUGUAGCUCGGCUCGGCUGCCUAAUUGCUGGCUAUGUUGGUUGCUUUCUGGAGACAGAGAGGGAGAAUAUGCUCCAUGUUGUCCAAAAGGGAAACGCAAAAUCAAUUGCAUCCACGGUGGUUCGUUUCUUUCCUUCUCCACACUGUCUUUCUGUCUUCUUUUCUUUCUCUCUUACGUUUGUAUUUCUGAAUGAAUUGGUUGUGGUUUUACAUGUAUGUUGAUUUUUGUUUUAAAGCGUUUGCACCAACAUAUAAUACAGGCAGUUUUUUUUACAGUGCAAGAAAAGGAGAAGGACAGAAAUGAAGGGAAGCUGUAUAACUUUAACACAGCUGCUAUACAACUAUACAAGAGAAGAAGCAGAGACUCUGACAUUGAACUUGAUCAUGGGCCAUUUGGAAUAUGCUCUGACAUGGAGGUGGUAAACAAGCUCAAUCGGUUUAUCAAAAACCAGCAAGGUACAAGCAAGGGUCCAGACACUGAAGAACUGAACAAAAAGCAAGAUAAACCAGGCGAGAGAACCGCCCAGCAAAGUUGCAGACGCUAAACUAUCAGAACAACUACAAGAGUCACAAAACAUCACGAUAAGAAACAGAAAGGCUCAUUUGUGUACUAAGAUGAUAUAACUUUGCAAUAAAAUUGGCUGUGCGCAUCGUUUCAUCGUUUCGAUGCAGAGGCCGGGAAGAACCCCUUUUCGAAAAAAAACGGUUCGUCCUUUUCCAAUGAGCGUUCUCUAGCAUGAAUUCGAAUGUAAUUCGUGCACGUAAAUGAGUGGAAAAAAGAAUGCUGUUGCAAGGGGUUGGAUCAUACUGUCUAGGAGAUCUUAUCUAAUGACAUACAAACAGGAGGCGCUCGUGGCCUAAUGGAUAAGGCAUUUGACUUCUAAUCAAAGGAUUGUGGGUUCGAGUCCCACCGAGCGUGUUCUUUUUUCUUAAAUUUUUUUCAUUCAUUAUGCUUCCCAUUGAAACUUAUUUUCUUCAGCGCAUGCUAUUCAUAAGUCGUCUAAAAAGGAAUUUUUUUUUGUGCCAAAUUUUAGCAGUAAUCUUGUUGUAGCAUCGGCAACCCCAAUCAUGAAAAUAUAAAUUCAUAGAAGUGCCAGCAUAAGAUAAGAUGCUAUUAAUUUGUCCAGCAACUGAACACAGACGCUAGAAAAAUUCAGAUCAGGAUUCCAAGAACAAUAAACUGGGUGCAGCGACCAGCAUUAAAGCUUAAAGCAAUAGGGAUUGUAAUCCAGGGGUCAUCAAACAUAGUAGCAUUGUCACUGACACCAAAAAGAAUGUAUAUAUGCUGGAGCCUUUCUCUAUGCCAAAAUGCUGUUUAUUAAUUGUCUCUAUGAUUGUCAACAGCUAGGGACUAUGCAUUGUAUUGCUUCCUAGAUCUUCUCUUGCUUUUCGCCUACGAGGGGGAGCAUCUCCAUCCGGCUUCUCGGGGUCCGCGGGCUCAGGGUGGCGCCUUGCUGGGAGAUGAGAUGCCUCACGUAGCCGUAGAAGGUGCAGCCGACGAGCGUGAUCCCGCACCCGACCGCGUUCAUGGCGGAGAUCGGGUUCCGGAAGAUCAUCCAGGAGAUAAGCACCGCAGCAGCUACCUACACAGACCCAUCAUGGUACCAUCAGUUUCCCAAUGCUGAACUUUGUUUGUUGGACUGAAGAAGCAGAGUGAAGAGGAAUGGGGAUAUCAGUGCUCUCACCUUGAGGUUGCCGGCCACGUUGAAGGUCACGGCGGUCGUCGAAUGGAUGACGUAGAAGAUGGAGAAGUUGAGGCAGAAGGCGAGAAUUCCUGAGGUGAUUAUGAUGAUCAGUGCAGGGACAGUUGACUCGUAUGUGUAUAGCCAGUUGAUCACGCCGCCCCCUUCGAGUACAAUCGCUGGUACUGACAGUAUCAUGGUGGCAAAGGGUGCCAUGUAGUACACCGUGUUAAUGCUGCAGAGAGAAAAAAGGAACAGAAAACACAGGUAACCAAGAGGAAAAAUAUGCAAUAUCGUAAUUGAUCGUGUAGGUACUAUGAAAAUAUGAAGAAAUUCUACAUAGCAUGAUGACAACAGAAGCGCUAUUACAUUAUCCAUGAAUAACUCUGUUAAGAACUAUUGUGAAUUAUCAGAUGACAAGAACUACUUCCCCUUUUAUUUUUACUUUUUCUUGUUGUGAAGCUCAAACAGAUGCUAUAAGAUCAUUUCCUCUGUAAACUGACUGGAUCACUGUUUACCUGUCAAAUUUGUAUCCAUGGAGUAGGGAUUCUGCCAAGAUGGUCUUUGUAGACGUGGCGAGGCAGCCAACCAUGGCGGCACAAAAACCAAACAUGUUGAAGCUAAGCUCAGUUACUGAAGUCAAGAGGAUUCCCCCCACAAUAGGAACCAAUGAAGCCCAUAUGCGCCACUCAAAGUAUUUCCUCCAGACCAACCACUGCAGGAUAACUGUUCUACAACGAAUCAGAAAAUGACGCAACAGCAAGUGCGAAAAAGGCGUCGUCCUCGAAGAUGAACAAAUCAGAGAACCUGUCGUUGCAGGAGUGAAGGAUUUGAUAGUCUGCAUGAAGGAGACUGGGAUGUACCGCAGGCUGACAUUUCCCAGCACGAUGUUUAUGCAGAACACAAAUGACAUGGGGAAUAUCCUUUUCCAGCGAUCCUCGGGGGCAACCUCGAUCAGCGGUUUUAUCUUGAGCAUUUUGAUUGCGAUGUAAGCUCCGAUGGAAGAGCAUAUGAAGUGGACGCACGACACGGUCAGAGGAAAUUUGAACUCCAGUUUCUGCAUCCCAAGAAAAAAAAAAUCAAGUUCAUGCUUUUCUGCUGAGGAGGCUGCAAUAGUGCCACUGCCAUGAACUAAUUGUCAGUUUAAACUUGAAAGCAAAAAAAUGUUCAUUCCAAGAGAAAGAUGGUGGCAGAAGCCCAUGAGAAACAUCAGUCAUAUCGACUCUUCUACAUGUCAUUUGCGAUUAAGUAUGUUCUCAAAUAUUAUGGUACUAGUCCACAAAAACAUAUUAGCACAUAAUCAAUGUUAACUCCGAAGUCUGAACCUUGGGACAUUUUUCAGCUCACUAACGAAAUGGCUCCCAUCUCCAAUCCAUUUUGCGGAUUGUAAUCUACAUUAAAACCAAUAAUUACCAUCCCAAAUAUUUCCAAUCCUUCAUGUUUCUGAUUCUUCUUCCCACAAAUAUCUUCGUCUUAACUCCAAACCUAAUCCUUUUGUGGAGAAACCUAAUUCCAACAAUUUACAGCCAUGAAAAAGGACAAUCCCUUCAUAUUCCUAACAACAUGAUAAAUCAAAAGCCAGCUAAUCUGCUCCCCUGAUUGCGCAGAUCAACCCAUAAACAUGAACAAAUCCUCCGGAAGACGAGGAAAUCGAGAAUAUAUAUUGAAAGAAAAGUUGUAAGCAGAAUGGGACGGAGGGAGAAGAGCGGCCGCGAGACGGACCUGGAAGAUCCAUUUGUUCAUGAUGAUGACGGUGACGUUGAAGCACCACCAUUGGAGGAUGGCCAGCACCGCCCUCACCGUCGCCACGUUCCCCAUCUUCCCUUCCUCCAUAUGCAGCGCACAAAAACAACAAAGAUCCCCUGGAUUCAAUUCCAAUCCCACUAAAAAAGAAACGCCUUUAAUUUCUUCCAGCCGGAGUCCAGGAGAGAAGAAAAAGGCAGAAAGAGACAGAUGCUGGAACGGCUGGCGUAUUUAUGUGUAAUUAAUCAGUGGAAAACUCCUCUUGAUGAUCCAUUUGUGGAAGGCAGCAGGCUGGCUUCUAGAAGACCAUGGUGGUUCUUCUAGAAGGUUCCAGAAGCCGUCAAGGCGUCAGGAGAAGAGGAGGAGGAGGAGCUAGAGGGGUUUCGCUUUCGGUCGUAGGAUUUGCAGGUUGUGGUUUUUAGGUUGAGAGUUCGAUUGGUGUGAUUCUUGCCUCUCAUAAUACGUGUUGCCACUCUUCUUCUUCUUCUUCUUCUUCUUCCUCCUUCUUCUUCUUCUUCUUCUUCUCUUCUUGUAUACGUCAGCCUAGCCAGCUCAGGCUUGGACACGUGUCACGUGGGACCGUCUCAGCCGAGCUUGGACACGUGUCAUUUAAAAACUGUUUAAUGGGUCGACAUAUGGGCCUCUCUAUGAGACUCCCCUGGGACCUCCAACCAAUCCCUGCAUCUGCACAGAACACACCAUUCUUCUGAUGAAAUCAACAGCAUUUCAAGCUCAGCUCACCCGUAGAAAAGCCAGCUUGCAGCAGCCUUCUUCCCCUUCACCACCAACAAUUAUUUUACAUUCCCAAUCACAAAUCGAUAACAGAAAGCACAAACAAGUAGCUAGUCAAACAUUGUUCUAAAAUAUAUGUUCUUCAUCAUCAUAGAUCAGAGGGAUAAAAACAACAGGUGAUGAAGCACAAAACGUUGUAAACAAAACAGCAUCAUUCGUUGCUUACAGCAAACACCGAAUUAACCUCCCUUCUCCACACAGAAAGGGAAACAUCAAAUGGAGUAAUAACGUUCCAUGCAGAAACAGCCAACAUAAACAGUCUUCAACAGGUAAGACUUGUCCCUGUAAAUGUCAACUGCACAACUGACUGGUUGAUUCAACCAGUCAUGUCAGGGUACUGUAUAUGGCCCCUUCAAAGAGGGGGCCGCCAAAAGGAUCAUCCUUUUUCUUCUUUGAAUGUAAGCUUGGCCAAGCAAAAUGUUGCGGAAGAUAUUCUGCUUAUUACGUCUCUUUGCCACCAACUAGCUAAGAAUCCGACUGACUGGCAUGCUUCAUGUUCUUAUGUCUCUUCAGGACAGACAACUCGUACUUUUGCAUCCCUUCCCUCGCCCUCCGUAGACUGCACGACGGGCAAUACCACUGGCCUUUCGGGAUGCAGGUGCGCUUCGGCGUCAUGCAGUAUAUGUGAUAAGCUUCGUCACAGCCGUCGCACAAGGCGAUAUCUUUGUCAUCCUUAUUCUUGAAGCAGCAUCUGCAGAGACAGGACGGGCAGUACCAGCAUCCGAGGUUUUUCUGCUUCUCAGACGCGAUCUGGCUUUCUCUGAGGCAUCGGAUGUGAUAGAAUUUGUAAGAGCAGUAAGGAUGACCACAUACCAAGAAUCGCCUGUCGUCGUCUUCGCAUGUGCCGCAGUGUUUGCACAGCUUUGCAAGGGCAGUUGUGCACAGGUCUGGCUCGUUGUCUUCCACCACGCAUGGCACGGAGCUCCCCUCUCUUUCAUCAGCUAACUCCAUUCCACUACCAAUUUCAGGCGGUUCUAUUUUCUCAAGGACUUCAAGCCUGGCACACAGAGGACAACCAACAUGCAAACUGUUCUUGUGAACAUUUUUCAUGAUGUCUGCAGCUGACCCCUUCCCCUUAUUGCUGCAGGCCGGGCAGUGCCAGGUUGCUGGGAUCUGUUUCAUAGCAGGAUGGAGUCGCUUGACACAGUCAAAGUGGUACGUGCUGUCACAUCCAUCACAGAUAAGUCUUUUUUCUUCUUCUGCACCGUCUCCACAUUGCUUGCAAGUGCAAAUUCGACGAAGUCCACCUGUCUCGGUUCGCUUUGGAAUUGUAGAAUGACCAGAAUCACAUGGGGAGAACUGCACGGUGGUAGUCGAACCCUUUGGGAUUUUGUGGACGACACCAACCAAGCUUGUUUCCUGGUGAAGAAUGCAAUUAGUAAAAGGUGUUAAUAGAGUGCAACAACAACAAAAAAUGACCAGCAGACUGUCUCCAAACACACCAAUUACCUCUAUCCGGCGCUCAGCAGCAUCCUCUGCUUCAGAAACUCCAGAAGUCUAUAAAGAAUAUAUCGUAAGCAAUGUGCAGUACCAGCAUAAAAGCCAACAAGUUAAAGACUCCACAAUAGCUUGAAGCAUGGUCGUGGAGAAAAUAACUACAAAUUUACCUGCUUCUGAUAAGAAGCUCGUGAAAUGAUUGGAAGAUUGCUUGCUAGACAUGUCAUCUCCCGGCCAACUCGUUCAAACUUCUCCCAUGUCUACAUCAGAAACAAAUAUCCAUACAGAUACAUGAAUAUGAUGACACUUUACUCAGAAUAUUGUUUGCCUGAAUGUUAUGCAACUUCAGGUGAAACAACAAUAGCAAGCAAGCAGUUUCAUUGAGCACUGCUCCUAUACUAGCUACAACAUGGAAUGUGCUACUUAGAAAACAUGAUUCAUCCUCCCUUGGGAGUCUCCUGGUUGGAUGAUUCAAACUGUUUGGAAGGCCAAGGCAGCUAAUGUGCAAUCAAAUGGUGCAAACAUAGGAACUAGUUUCAGAACAACAGUGUAUAAAGGGCUUUCUCUACUCUGCCAAGUAAAGUGAAGUUUAUGUAUCUAUACUAGAUAAAGCUCAAGAAUAAACAAGAAAGCAGUUAUUUUUUCCGAUGAUUGAGUAAAAUGGAGAUAAAGCUACCUGCUGGAUAUCUUUGUUGAACAACGCCGGAUUCUGUGCAUAACUUCCGUUUCUCAUGUUGGCGUCAAUUCUCCCCAAAUCAAUGACCUCAUGAACAUUAUUCACAUGGAAAGUUUCAACUAGCAGAUCACACAGCAGGGCAAAUUUCUCAGAGACUAAAAUGUCAAGGAGAGCACUGUUGCACAUUGCUGUGUUGGCAUCCAAAGAUGCUGCAGUUGCAUCUUUUAACGCAACAAAGGAACAAAUCUCUUUCGCAUCCGCCAGCCCAGUAGGAUGCUCAUCUGACGAAUCUUGGGCCUUCCCAAGGUCACCCUGGUAAUCACAGAAGUUCACCGUCAGUUUCAUAUCACAGUAUAACAAGGUUGCUCUUUUUAUUAAAUAGAUAUGAGAAAAGCAAAGAAGAUGAUGACUGACUUGUUGUUCAGAUUGGCAGCGGUUGUAUCUGAGAGCGUCACAGAUGCAGCUGUGAAUCCCACCGCCCUUAUUUAUACCUGGGGCUUGCAGGUAGCCCUCCAAUGUGUUCUUCCAAGUAAUCCAAUGCCUGGCCAGCAUUGGGUGCCCAUCUUGGCGAGAAUUGCCACCGUACAGCAUCAUGGCGGCACUAGACUGCACGGAAAUAAAGCAACCAAGCACAUUGGACACGGUUCGGUUAUGUAUUACAGUAUAAAAUAGGCAUCUCAGGAGUCAGGAGACAGAAUUCCUAGGAACAAGUAGCAGGAGCCGAGAUUCAGAGCAAUUCGAAAGAACAGAGUGAGCAAAUCUAGCCGCGUGAAAUGAAAUCUUGGCUGGAGUGCUUAUGGCACCAGGAAGCCAGAGAUGUCCCAGUUGCAACAGCGGAACACGGCGGCGGGCGGGCGGGGGGAAGAAAGAAUGGAAGACGGGGAGAGCAGGGGUUAGAUGCGAAAGCUUGGCUCACCUGUCCGGGGUCGGAGCUGGCGCCGCCGUCGGCGCGGGAGGCGGCGCGGCGGCGCUUGCGCGUGUAAGUGAGGACGCCGCCGCCGCUGCUUCCGCCGGGGGUCUCCGGGGCGCGGCGCUUGGGCGGGACCGGCGGCCGGCUGGCGCCGUCCUGGGAGGCGGACAUCUUGGCUCCCGUCCGGCGAGGCUACAGCAUGUGUUUUCCCCGGCGAAGAGCGGGGCCUAGACUGGGAACUCAGCGGGAGCGCAGCCGCGGCGGGGAGGACGGCCGAGGGGGCUGGUUUCUAGGGUUUGCGGAGGGGCGGUUUGCUGGGGAAGGAUUUGGGGAUUUGUGUGGGGAGCGAGGAGCGGGAGGAAGGAAGAAGAAGAGAUUUUGCGAAACGGAAACGGGGAAAGAAACGGAAACGCGGACGGACAGGCUGUGUGUGUGCUCGCCGUCACGGCUGCCUGCUUUCAACUCUCUCUCUUCCGUCUCCACCAAUUCAAAGUGCUCACGAAAUUGGCAGCGGACGUUCGUUUGGUAUGCUUAGGGGGCGACAUCCCCGGUGAGGAGAUAUACGGUGGAGGAUGAGGCGUUGGGUCGGUAGGCUUAGGGGUCCACGUCUCCGGUGAGGUUUGGUAGGAGGAGAUAUACGGCGGAGGGUUGGGUCGGCAUGCUUAGGGGGUGACAUCUUCGGCGUUGUUGGGGUAGUAGGAGGAGAAGGAAAGGGGGAAGGGGGAGGACGGCUGAUCGUGGUGACGGUGAGGUUGUAUGUAUAGGUGGCCAACUAAGCGGAAGGAUUCGAUUUUCGUUGGUGAGGAAAUGUCUUCCCGUGGCUGUGUAAGGAAGGAGAGGCCGUGUCAAUAGGAAAUGAGCGAGAAGAGGGGCAGGAGGAAGGAGAGGCGGCUGCAAGAGGGGAGGAGCGACGAGAGGCAGACAGGGAGAAAACCCUAAUAAGGCAACAGCUGUAGGGCUAAAUGGGCUAUAGUCCAUAGUUGGGUUGUGCUUUCGCUCUCUUCUUUUUUUCCUCAUGUUCCCCGUUGUUAUCCCAGGCCUUAAUCGCUCUCUUAUUUUUUUUUCCUUGUUGGCCCGUUCGGGCAGCCCAAGCACUGUAUACGCGAGUUGGGCACCGGGUGGAAACAAAAUGUCAUCCACUGCCCAAUGCCUUCCCAAACCUUAUAGGUCACUACGUAUUCAACACAAGUAAAGAACUUCGUACCAAACAUUCAUUUGGUAAUGCUUACGGACGAUCUCUUCUAGGAGGAUAUGUGCGGGACAGGAGAUGUCGAAGAGAAGGUAAGAUGGGAAGACAAAGGACCGCUGCCCUUGACAACGCGUUUGUACGUGUCAAACAGUAUUGAAACAAGUAGAUAACUUUGCACCAAACUCUUAGCUCGGUAAUGCUUAGAUGGCGAUGUCUUUUGUGCCGCUUCGGUAGGAGGAAAUGUGUGUAGAAGAGAAACCGAGGAGGAAGAAAAUAAGGGGAAGGAACGCAUGCAGCUGACCUUAACAAUGGCGAAGUCGAACGAAUCACUUGGUGUGGCCACAAGACGACGGCGUGGUCGAAUGGAGUGGCUGAUCCAAGCGGGCGGUGCCCCCACUUGACCACGGGACAACGCCGAUGGCUUGCGGGACGACGACGAUGUUAGAUCUAAGAAACGGUGUGGCGGCGGAUCUGAGAAGAAAGAGGCGGAGGGGAAAAGAGGGUUUGGGAGACUAACCAUACGUGGCUAUAAAUACAAUCGAUGAUGUCCUGGGAAAACAUGAGGCGCAAUUGCGGAGGCAAAUAAAUGUACUACAUAAAUGAGCCAAUUUUGUGAGGAAAUUUCUCUCUUUCAUAUCAGAAAGUCUGUAUGUACGACGAUUUCGUGUGAUCUACUCGCCGAUCCAUAAUAAAUGAGCGACACUUCUUAUGGAUCUGAGGGAGUACUAAAUUUCCUCAAGCCCAAGCCCAAGCCCAGAUGGCAAUGCUAGUAGUUUGUCUUUCAUAUAGCUUUGCUAGGCCAUCUGUAUACACGCUGAAAAAAAAAAUUGCAGGCCAUGCCAGCCAGCCUCACAAAGUCAGGUGACUUAAGUCAGAGAAUACUGGCUGGUGUCAGAUGGUAGCUAAUUCCAGUUAAAUGUUGUCAAUUUUCAAAGCAGAAGCAUGAAACUACAAAAAAUAGUGGCAAUACAGAUAUGCGUAUAGAAUAUUGAUUUGCUAUCUUUCUUUCUUUUUGCAAGGAAAGUGCCAUUCCCUUGCCUGAGGAUACUAUAUUUACCACUGCCGCGUCGUUUCUCCCCUCGGCGGCAGUGAGACAUCAUAUCAGAAGGCGCUGGAGACUACAUAGCCUGCCAACGAAGAACAUCACACAGCAUGAUCCAGCAACGGGCCGCUCGCUUUGCCUCUAAAUGAGGUUGUCAUCCCUUCGCCAAGCCUUUUACCUGAACAUGGUGUGCUCAUCCCGUUAGAUGAAGACCUCAAUCAAAUUGUGAACUGGACAGAUAAGAUGUUGGAUGAUGCAAGAUAUGACAAUUUUGAUGUGAAAAGGAAAGACCAAAUACUGGCAAGAUCUCUAUACGUGAUAUCAUAAUAGUCAAUAGAAGAUCAGCAUGAGUGGAAUCACAUAAGUAAUGUCAUAAAACUUAUCAUCAGGGCUUACUCUCUAUCAAGUCAAAAAAGGAAAAUUUGCAGUGGCUGGUAUAGUUUAAAACAUGGUGAAAAGGAAAAAUUGCAGCAGCGAGGUGCUAUGUAUUAGAGCUCUUUUACGGUACCCCGGAAUUAAUAUUGGCCAUCCAUUCACCCCAAUCUAAUGGCUAUUGUUAUCGGGUACUCCACCGAUGGUUCUCUGGAGUACUACCUCGAAAAGGCACGGAGUACCUUGUUACAAGGGGUAAAAUAGUAAUCAGAGACUUUCUUAUUUCUCAUUAGGGGCAAUCUCUGAGUUUUUCCUCGCAAUCAACAUGAAAACAUUCCCCGUGUGAAAAAAUUAUAACCCGAUGAACCCUAAUUCUAAACAGGUGAGACCAUCAUCCAUAGAUUCAAUCGUAGGUCUAAAAUAAAUCAAUGGUAGAGAUGUAUAAUUGAUCCAAGAAUCCACUAGGAGGCUGCACAAUUGAUCAAUCCAUACGUGCUGUCGCUGCUGUGAUCCAAGAAUCCACGAGGAGUCUGCACAAUUGAUUGAUCCAUACAUGUUGUCCUUGCUGUGAACAGCGCCAUCAGAAUCCCGGACAGCGCUGUGCAGCCUGUAGCGGGUGAGCGGCGCGUGCGAUCAAGAAUAAAAGUGAACCAUCGACGGCGGGCAGAUCUGGCGGCUAGACAGCGGCGUGACCGACGGGGGCUUGAUCGUUCGUCGCCUCGUCGGUGGCCAGACGCGAGGGCAGGGCCGCUCGAUCAGCACUGUUCAGUCAAAACAGCCCUUACAAAAUGUCCAAAUUACCCUCAUGUUUGGACGGCCAGAUUUAUUUGGUACUCCAAUCCAUGCCAAAGAGUACCAGGGUACCGUAAAAAAGCUCAUGUAUUAUUGGUAGCUGGCUUCAACAAGUCAUGACAACUUGAAAUUUAAAUACAGUGAAAACAUGUGGAACUUUGUCAGGAUCAGAAGACUUAUUCUUAACACCGUUCAUCAUGUUGAGAGCACAGGGUUUGCAUAAACAAAGCAAAAACGCGUAAACCUCAGCAACCUAACAACUAAGAACUCACUUGCUAUUAGUUUUAAUUUGGUAUGGUUUCGUAUAUGUUGGAAUGUUUGAUUUUGUUGGAAUUUCCAAAGUGAACUAAAUGACGUAAACAACAAGCCAGGCAACUGGAAUCUGCAAUCGACAAUGGCAGUAGAAAAGUGUAGUGAUAUAUGUAUGUACCUGGGAGAAGAUGAGCAGCCGGAACUGUUAUGGGUCACAGAGAACACAUUGGAGAGAGACUUUGUGAGGUAUGCAAAGUUUGGUAUCGGCGGCAACGCGGGCACACGCUCCCCUUUCCUCAGCAGCUCCUCCAAGUCGAGCCUUUGCAAAGUGAGUACAGACUUGUUGUCUCUCCAAACAAAGGCGAGCCGGCCAUCCUGGAGAGCAAAGAGUGACCCGGGCUUUGAGCCAGGGUACCUGAACCCAUACCCCGCUGCAAUGCCCUCCCCGGCAAAGCUUCUCGCAAUGUCCACACGGCGGGAAUCCUCGUCGGACUGCCAUGGAAAUGCCUCUGUCGAUGGCUCGCCCAUCCGCGCGAUAAACAUGGCCGACCCAUUGGGAUGCACGACAUAGUGUGUGCCCUCCAACACCUUGGUUGCGAUCAGCAUAAGCUUCCUCUCGCUGUCUUCCUCGUAGGAGAGGAGCAGGAAGAAGAGGGCCUUCCGUGGUUUGCGGUCAUCCUCCGGCCGCCCCGGUGGCCACCCGAAUGUGCCUCCCCACAGUCCGGCAUACUCCCGGCCGGGCACCGGCGCCUGUGUCGCCAGCUUGUAGAGCGCGAACCGGUUGCCAUGCAUGCUUGGCCACGCUCGGUAGGUCGACAGCCGCAGCUGGGCGCCCCGGAGGCUCAGGCCAACGCUCUUGCCGGCGCGCAAGAACUCGUCCAAUGCCAGAUGCUUGCUGCCUCCGAACUCUACCGUUGAAUUGGCCGACGCAGAGCGCGUCACCAUCUGCAGCAGCCCUUUCCUGACGAACCCGGCCAUCGCAGACAGGCUCCUCCGAAGGGGAACCUUAUCACCUGCAGCAUCGCCGUUCGUCGUCGGCGGCAUCUUCUUGGCUGCUUCCAGCAGCAGAGCCUCGAGCUCUGCCCGGCUCACCAUGCCGCCGCCGGACGACGACGAAUCCUUGUGCAGACGCAGCAUCGCCUCCCGGCGCGCGGCGAGCAAGGGGAGGUCCUCAUCGGAGCGCGCGAAGAGCGGCGCCGCGGCGAGGUCCGGCGGGAGCUUGACGCGGCAGGAGGCGACGAGCGCAUCGAGCAGGCCGCAGCGGUUACCGAAGGAGAGGCGGGAGAAGCUGGAGGAGGAAGAAGAGGGAGAAGGCGCGAGGGCCUCGAGGAGGAGGGCGUUGGUGUUGGGGUGGAGGGAGGAGAGGCGGCCGGGGAAGAGGGAUCCGGCGCCGUGGAGGAAGAGGAGCGCGGGGCGGCCAUGGGCGUCGGCGAGGAGCUCGAAGACGGGCGCCCAGCGGAGGCGCGGGGAGAGCUCCUGCGGGAUGGCGCGGAUGGCGACGAGGGAGAGGAACCCCGGGAGCGCCGCCACCAGGUUGCCCAGCUCCGGGUUCUGCUGCGCCCAGAGACCGCGGAGCGGGGCCGCGGAGUGGAGGAAGCGGCAGACGGUAAGAGAGGAGCCCCCGGCGGCGGCGCGCCAUGAGAGGAGGUGCGACGGCGGGGAAGAAGAAGGGAGCAGGCGGCGGCACUGCGCCAGCCAGGGCUUGUCGGCAGCGGAGAGGGCCGCGUGGAGGCGGCGGUCGGCGGCGGAGAGCGCCAGGAGGUCCCGCGGGCGGAGGUGGGCGGAGAUCAGGGCCAGCACGUCGUCCGGGAGCGCCAGGAUCAGCUCGCCCCCGGCCAUGGAGAUCGGGGUUGGGUGGGCCGUCUGCUUCCUUUCGCCUUUUUCUUUUCUUUUCUCAACCUCAAAAAAGUUCCAAGCUUUAUAAUCCUGCGAGAAGAAGACUGUGAAGAGUGACAAGCUCAGCCUGGUCUUUUUCCUCGGACGAUGAAGAAAUAUCUCUUUUUUUUUGCAUUUCGCUCUCGUGCUAUUCUCGCUGGCCACCUUGCUAAAAUAUCUCGAACCACUGUCUACACCAUUUUAUUACGCUUAUCGGUCUAUUUAUCUGCAGUUUCCUCCACAUUGCUCGACAUUGAUAAAUCACCUUCUCUAGUCACCUUCAUGCACCACAAGCUUCAGUGGAUUUACCAAUAAUUUCUUAACCCGAGUCUCUUUCGGACCCAAAAGGUGGACACACAAACUACGUGAUCAACAAGAAUGAUGUGAUACGAGGCAACAAGCAAGGAUCCGCGUCCGUUCAUGGGUUCGGAGUGUCAAAACUCAGCUCUAUGUUUCGUAGGAUUUUUACAGAAUUUCAAUCCUAGGAGUUUUUUUCUACAUGUAGCAUGGUUUCAGAACGAACAUGUUAGAUUUCUAAGAACUGUAUCCAAAUUGGCAUAAUUCAUAAGGAUUCUAAACAUCAGGUACGAGCUCAUUUAAAAUUAUUAAAGAAUAAAUAUGCAUGACAUUUCAAUCAUCUAUUUUCAUAUUCAUAUGAUUUCAAAAUCCUAUGAACCGAAUAAGCCCUAGGAUUACGACGUUGUCAAGGGUCAAGAAUGUAAAAAAGAAAAGUGUUAUAGAAGGGAAAAAAACGUCACCGUCAAAAAGAAUGAAUUAGUUUUGAUUUGGUCACAAGGUCUAGAAGAAGAAGAUGCUGCUUCUUGGUGGAUGUCAUGUCGACGUCAAGAUCACCUAUUGGCACAUUUCGUCCAGUCGUCGUUUGUAGUUUAUGUCCAGCGAAUUUGAGACCCGGUCAAACAGUGAACUCAUCAUCCUCGACGACUUUGACCAGGGUGGGUCCUUUGGGCCUUAAAAGACUCUCCUCGCUUUGGGCCCAUUAUAUUAGACAAGACCCCUUAUACAAAACAAGAGAGAGGCCAAGCCCAUGAGCAGAAGAACGCAACGGGCUGUGGGCCGGAAGCAGUAUCACCGUGGCAUCGAGAGCAGAUUACUUUUUAUUCGCUCAAACUAACAAUGAAACCUGCCCUAAAAAAAAACUAACAAUGAAUGAUCCCUAAAAAAAAAUUACCACUUGAAUGACAGGUCGUCCUCUACAAUUAUGGUUGUUUACAUGGCCUAAAUCAGCCAACUUUGUCUGACCACUCUGCUCUACGGUCGAAUCUAAGCUAGUAACUUAAUGGGCUUGUUUGGUCCUAAUCAUGGAAGAUGAUGAUUGGUCUAUGACAUAGAUACAGACUGGGACAGGGGCGCCAGACUCGUGCCUAAUCCUUCUUGUUUCAUCCAAGAAAAGUCUUAAGCCGUAUACACUGCCAGCCGGUACGCAUCGCAAUCUCAGGAUGACGCUCAAAUUGUCAAACCAGUUUGUCCUAAGAUGAGUUUUUUGUUUUGUUCAACGUAUAGCUGUAAUGGUCUGAUGGCAAAGAAUCUAACUGAAUGUAUAGCUGCAUGGUCUGAUGACAAAAGAGUACGCAUCUCAGAAAAAUGCGGGCAAGAACACAAGCAAAACCAAAGAUUAAUACGAUAACACACUGUACGAAAUUAACACUGGAUAGAGAUCGAAAAAUAACAAUCAAGAAAUACGUAAAUGUAACCCUGCAAAAGAAACAUAAAUGUACUGCAUAAUUACAGUACACAAUAAUACUUGUUGCAGCAAAACUCUGAUGAUCAUCAUCAUUUCUGAUUGUGAAGACGUCCUUUCAAUGAAAUUCAAUCAAGAAACCAAUUGCUUCAUUGCUCAUGAUAGCUACGAGUAGCUAGUAACGGCAUGAAAUCGAGAUCAUCUUAAUCUGUUUUGCAGCUGAUUGCAUGCUCCUCAUUUCUUGGCGGCGGCAUUGCUGGAGGAGGAAGAAGCUGAAGCAGAGGAGGUCCUCUGUUCGUCGACCUUGUGCACCACCUUGCUCCUGCCUCUGUGCGCCACCAACAUCUUCCUCAGCGCGCGCAUCAUCGCCACCAGCCCCGGCGCCCUUCUCCGGGACGAGCCGCUCCUCCUCGCCGCCGCGACCUGCAGCACCGCCACCUCGCGCUCCUCCUUCGCUGCCCGCCGCCGGCGGGAAAUGUCGAAGGACAGGUCGUCGUCGGCCAAGUCCUCCCUGCCGUCGUCGUUGAGGUCCUCCCACAGGCUGUCCAUCAUCUCCUCUUCUUCGUCCUCGGCUCCGGCGGGGGAGCAGAAAUUGGCGCGCCAUGGCGAUGCGGGAGCGGCGCUGGAGUCCGCGGCAGAGAAGCUGCGGCGGAUGGGCGACGACGAGAGCAGCCACGCCGGCGGCGGAGACGCGGACGCCCUGCUGUAAUUCCGGCGGUGGCUGUAGGUGCUGCUGCUGCAGCAGGCGGCGGCGAGGAGCUGAGGCGGCGGCGUGGGGAAGCUGAAGUCGUCGUCUUGCUCCGCCAUCGCCAUUGCCUAUUCUCUUCUCCCUUCUCUGCUCUGCUCUGUUCUGCUACUGCUGGAUUGCGUCUUGGUGGGGAAGAAGAUGCCAGUAGUGCUUCUGUUACCUAGCUACGUGUUGACUCUCAUCAAAUAAGGAGAGGAAGAUACCUCAAAAAAAAAAGUAGCUGGAGUUUGGUCCAACCGCAAGUAUUUUGAUUGAUGCUUGAUUGGUGGUCAAUCAAGGCAUUCCCUAUUGAUGCUGUAUCAGUAAUUUGUUUCAUGCGUACAAACUUUGAGCUAGAGUUGGCUCCAAGUUUUGCUUCAACGUUUGACCUCUUGAGCUGCACAUAUAUUCAGUUUACUACUCACCCCUUGUUUCCAACACGGCAUAAAAACUCAACUUAGGACAGUUCAUUUGAGCAUCAUCCUGAGAUUGCGAUGCAUACCGGCUGGCAGUGUACAGCUCAAGACUUUCUCUUGGACGAAAACAAGAAGAAUUAGGCACGACGAGUAUGAUGUCAAAAAAAUAAAACAAAAAAAUUAGGCACGAUUCCGGCCCCCGUGAUGUCUGUCAUAGACCACUGAUAUUCCAUGAUUAGGACCGAACCCAUUGUUAAAUUAGUACUAGAAGCUUAGGUUCGACCGUAAGAUUAAGAAGCAGAGUGGACAGACGAAGUUGGUUAAGUUAGGCCAUGUAAACGACGAUAAUUGCAGCGAGCAGGCUGUUCAUUAAUUAAUUAGCACAAAACAGGGUUCAAACGGUCCUUGAUACUUCUAUGUCUGAGGUCAACUGCCGUCUGUGUAGCACUUGACGACGGAUGAGAACAUGCCACUGGCUAAUUAAUUGGCAAACAGAUUGCCAUGACAUACAUUACCUAUCCGUCUAAAAUGUUGCAGCGAUCCAGUAAUUCCGGUGGCUGGUUGCUUCUUGUCUCUAAUUCUUUGUUUUGAUUUGAGAAAACCCAGCCGAAAUGCUGGGCUGGGCUGUAUCCAAAUUCAUGUUAAGGUUUUGGCCCACAAGUCCAUUACCAUCACAAACAAUUAGCUUCUCUGUCCGCUCAAAAAAAAAAAAAGCUUCUCUCGUCCUGUCUCGUGACUGUCCUCGACAUACAUACUUUAUCUUUUGUCUUCUUUGAAAGAAAGAAUGCACAUGUAUACUUAUUUUCAUUCCGUUUGUUGCAAGUAUACAUCGUUCGUCCUAGUAAUGCAUACUGCACGUUCCAGAGAAAUCAGGACACUUGGACCAUUGCUUGAGUAUCAUCACUGUCGGCUUGGUUAAACAUCCCAAUUCCCAAAAUAAAACCAUAACAGAUACAUGUCACCCUCCCCGUGGAUCGCACUAGCAAUGGCUAUGUUUCCAGGAGACAAUCACAGCAGAAAUUGGACCCAGCAAGGCAGCAAGGACGAUAAGAACCUGACACAAUAGAUAAGCGAUUGAUGGGAUGGAAACAAAAUUUAAGCAGCGGUGAGGCCUUUGCACAAAAUUUAAGCAGCAGCCAACCACCAAAGAAAACAUGGAGGAUGUCCGGAUCGUCUCCCGGCGCAUGAUCCGGCCGGAGCCGACGAGCACGCGGCGGCCGCCGGAGCUGGAGCCGGAGACGGUGAUCCACCUGACGCCAUGGGACCUCCAGAUGGUGACCGUGGAGCACAUCCAGAAGGGCAUCCUCCUGCCCAAGCAUCCACAGGGGCACAGCCAUGCCGUCGAACGGCUCGCGUCGUCCUUCGCGCUCGCUCUGGGACGCUUCUACCCCUUUGCCGGCCGGCUCACCGUCGAGGAGCUCCAGCAGGACGGCGGCAUCGCCAUGUCGCUGCGCUGCAGCGGCGAGGGCGCGGAGUUCGUCCACGCCGUGGCGCCCGGCGUCACCGUCGCCGACAUCACCUCGCCGGUGUACGUCCCGCCGGUGGUCUGGUCCUUCUUCCCGCUCGACGGGGUGCUCGGCUUGGACGCCGCCGUGGCCUCCCUACCGGUGCUGGCCGUGCAGGCCACCGAGCUCGACGACGGCGUCUUCCUCGCCAUGUCGCUCAACCACGGCGUCGCCGACGGCACCACCUUCUGGCACUUCUUCAACACCUGGUCCGAGAUCAGCCGCCGGAGCGGCAACCACGACGCCGCCGCCAUCGGCUGCGAGAUCGCCUCGCCGUUGCCGUUGCUCCAAAGGUGGUUCCCUGAAGGCUGCCCCAUCCCCAUCCCUCUGCCCUUCGACAAGCCGGAGGACAUUGUCGGCGACCAGCGUGCCAAGUACCCGUCGGUGCAGGAAUGCUUCUUCCGUUUCUCCGCGGAGAGCGUAAAGGAGCUCAAGGCGAAGGCGAACGCCGAGAUGGCUGGCGCCCCAGCCACCAUCUCCUCGCUACAAGCCCUCUUCGCGCACAUGUGGCGCGCCGUGUGCCGAGCCCGACGCCUCGCGCGAGACCAGGACGUGACGUACAUCAUCCUAGUCGGAUGUCGAGGCCGCUUGGAGAGCAUGCCAUCGGCCUACAUGGGCAAUGCCGUGUCGCUUAUCAUGGCGAGGUCGACUGCCGGCGAGAUCCUGGACAAGGGGCUGGGCUGGGCAGGAUGGCUCCUGAACCGGGCCGUGGCAUCGUUCAACAUGGCGAGCGCAACGGCUGAGACCGCGUCUUGGCCUCGGAACCCUGGCUUCGUGCGUCCUCUGGCGUCCGUGUUAGACGGUCAACCAAAGUUGUCCACGGGGAGCUCGCCACGGUUCGACAUCUACGGAAACGACUUCGGAUGGGGCAGCCCGGUGACCGUGCGGAGCGGCUCGGCGAACAAGGUGGACGGGAAGAUGACGGUGUAUGAGGGCGGCGAGGGUGCCGGUAGCAUGGCGCUGGAGGUGUGCCUUGCUCCGGAGGCGCUCGCCAGGCUCGUCGCCGACCAAGAAUUCAUGGACGUGGUGAGCUCAACCAAGGAGUGAUCAAUGAUCAAUCGAGCUCCUUUUCUUAACCACCGUGCCUAUGUUAAGUCUUAGAUCUGCAUCACUCAUCCUCUAUGAAAUUUAUGUAUUUGCCAAGAACCACUGGAAUGAUGAUAUUUUGCAGUACUAGUGAAGUGUCCAGAUGUUGGUUGCAGCCCACCAUUCAACAGAAAUCAAGCAAUCACAAGAAAGCUUAUCAAACAAUCAUCUGAUCAUGUAAAGCUUAAGGGAUUCAAUUUCACUCAAGAUCACACAAAGGAGUACAUACAACAUUAAUUAAUUGCAGGAUCUUCACCCUCGAGCAGUGAACAAGUAAAAAAACUAUCAUCCCCAACAUGUUUCCAUUCCGUGUAGAAGCUAAUUAAGCAGCGAAGUACCAUCCCCAACCCCUCCAUUAAUCUUACAAGGUACUGAGGUGUAAUCACUGAGAACCUGCUGAUCCUUCCAUCUCAUUUUGCUUUGCUUUGUGUAGACCAACGAUCCAAGACCAGCAGCACUAGUGGAUGAACAAUCGUAGUAGCUAGUUUCUUUAUGUGAUGAUAAAAAGACCGUCUAGACUAGCCGUGGUAGUAUUACAUUACAGACGUAUUACAGGGAGAAUCAAAGAAGAGAAGAUUUCUGGUCAGACCUCGAAGUGCUCCAUCUGCACGUCGGAGGCCUUGAGCGGGACGUAGUCGCCGAGGUAGACCUCGAGGUGGUCGGAGAUGUUGCUCUUGUCGAUGCUCUCAUGGUGGUAGCUCUUGCAGACAAGGUACACCACCGUCUGCACCACCAGUGCGACCAUGACGACGGCGCAGAGCAGGGCCAGCAACGCGAGGCCCAGGAGCAGCCUGGCGCCGGCGCCGAUGCCGUGGCGCGCGCCCUGCACGACCCACGCCCUGAACGCUAGCUCGACGACGAUGAAGACGAGGUUGAGCGUGAAGAAGAUGGCGGAGGCGGUGCGGAGCUUCCCUUUGAUGAGGUCCUUGCUCUUGCGCAUGGCGUGGAAUCCCUUGUAGUCCUCGAGCACGGAGACGACGCUGGCGAGGUGCCAGAUGACGCCGAGGUAGACGAGCCCGGCGACGUAUGCGGCGAGGAUGGGGAAGAAGACGACCGCGGCGAGGCCGGAGCCGUUCUCGGUGGCGACGAGCAGCGCGAGGAAGACGGCGACGGCGGCGAGGUUGUAUACGGCGAGCAGCGCGAAGGCGGCGAGGAAGGUGGCCGCGAGCCGGCGCCAGACCCUGGGCACGACGGAGAGCACCCUGGGGAACGUGAGAGCGUCGUACUUCGCGGAGUAGACGGAGGCGACGGAGAAGACGGCGGCGGCGGUGGAGAGGAGGGAGAGGAGGAGGAGAGCGAGGAGGUAUGCGGACUUGAAGAGGACGAGCGCCGACCAGUCGGCGGCGAGGCGGCGGAGGAUCCGGUCCUGCGAGGCGGUCCCCGGGGAGGAGGAGUCGAGCGCCGUGUCGUCGGAGUCGAUGGUGGUGAAGAGCGCGUGGGAGAUGGCGAUGUGGGCGAGGAAGAGGGCCGAGAGCGGGAGCACGAAGGCGGCGGCGAUGCGGCCGUAGAGCGGGCGGUGCGCGCGCAGGAUGGCCACGGACUCACGCGCGAUCCCCACGGCGCCCAGGAACUGCAGCUCCUCCGGCUCGCACUCCAUGGGUUCCCGCGCCGCCGGUGAGGUGCUGGAGAUCUGGGGUUGAGCUAGGGAUUUGGACGGAGGGUGGGGAGCUCGUGAUUUGGGGAUUUUUUUUUGGUUCGGGGGAUUGGGGAAGAAGGAAGAAAGCUAAAGCUCAGCUAAGCUCGGGUUUGUUUGAUCGGGUCAAAGUCCGACCGGUCGCUUCCAGAAGCCGACCGACGAACCCGAUGACGCGUCUUCCUUUGCUUCCGCGAAAUGGCCGGCGUUGACCGUGGGCCAGGUUUCUGUUACACGGGCCGUCUCAGGGCAUGGAUGGGGGUAUUCCAUGCUCAGUGAAUGUCAUUCGGCCCUUACUGUAUCAGCUAUAAGCUAUAUAGGCCACCUUGGGCUCUGGAAGUUACUUUCUGUGUUUAUUGACUGGGGGCUAUCAGCCCAAACCAGAAUAAAUCAAAGCCUACUACUACUACUACUACUAGGCAAUUACAUGGGCCAAACGGAACUACUUUCUAUGCCAAUGUAACAACCUUGUCGUGCUUCUAAAAGAAAAACUUCUUGUACUACCUAAAACCGAAAUGUAAGGUUAAUGUUAUACGAGUCAUUUUAUUGUCGGCUCAAUGGUGAAGACUUGCUAAAGAGUCACAGUGUCAAAAAAAUAAAAUGACAUAUCAAUUCGCUUGUGGAUCGGAGUGGCAUGUUUGUUUCACUUGAGUCCAAAAAAACUCAGCAAGGAUUUCAAAGGUAGUAGUUCGGCCGUCCAAAAAAAAUAAGAAAAAUCCUAUGACUUAAAAAAGUUCAAAAAUAUAAAAACUGGUAGGAUUGAGAUCAGGCGACGUACGAUUUAUACGUUACAUCACCGGAGCCACUUCCAAACCACUACUCGGCCACCUAAAAAUCCAUAUUUCAUAAGACAAAAAUCUUACCAGCAAAGCUAACUUUUAAAUUAACAGGGGGAAGACGGUGACCUGCCCACUAUGGCAGUGUGCCAUUGUGCUUCUACACAUCGAUGAAUGGACACGAACACGACGCACGUCCACGUCAUCACUCAUCUACUCAUUAAUCAGUUUAAAAUUGAAUUCGCAAGUUUAACUCACAGAUUUCAAAUUCAAAAUUGAAUUUGCAAAUUUAACUCACAGAUUUCAAAUUGAAACCCAGAGACUAUAGUACUACUACUCUAGAGCUCACGUGGGCGAGAAGAAGAAGAGGAGAGCCCCCCCCCCCCCCCCCCGCGCCCGCGCCGGAAGGAAACCUAUAAAAAAAUCGCGUCUUUUUCUUCCGCCUCGAUCGGCAUCUCCUCCCUCCGCCGCGCGCGUGACGCGAGGAGAGGAUCCAUUAAUUCAGCCGGACAGCCAUGGCGCACGCCGCCCCCGUGUGCGCGCGGCUGCCCCCAUGGCGCGUCCUCCUCCUCCUCCUCGCCCUGCUCGCCUUCUCCUGCUUCGCCCUCACGCGCUUCCCCGCCGCCGGGGCCCCGCUCGCCGCCCUCAUCGCCGCCUCUUCUCCGGCCGCCGGCGGAAGCGGCAGGGAGAGCUGCGCCGGGUUCUACCGCGGCGAGGGCGCGGGCGGGAGGCGAGCGGCGUCGGCGUCGGUGGAGGAGUUCGGGGCCGUGGGCGACGGGGUCACGUCCAACACGGCGGCGUUCCGGCGCGCCGUGGCGGCGCUCGAGCAGAGGGCCGCCGCGGCCGGCGGUGGGGCUAUGCUGGAGGUGCCUCCUGGGAGGUGGCUAACCGGCAGCUUCAACCUCACCAGCCGCUUCACGCUCUUCCUGCACCACGGCGCCGUCAUCCUCGGCUCCCAGGUACGUACAUGAUCCAUCGUCGAUCGUCCGCCAAUUCCUUUUCCUCUUCUUGUUCUGUUCCAUUUGAUUAAUUCCAAUCUACUUUUCUGCUGAUAUGGGAAAUUAUUGUUGAUUAGUUGGUGGGUGCGGACAAUUUUAUUUCACAACAAAAAAAUUGCACAAAGCUAAUUAAGCUUUCCUGUAGUGGAGAAAUUGGAGUUUCCGGUAUAUGUUCUUGUUUGGUUGGUUGGACGCUGAGAAAAUGUGCACAUAGCUGAGCUUUCCUGUAGUGCUGAAAGUUGGAAUUUUCUGUCCACGUUCUUGUUUGAUUGGACGCUGGCUCCGACGUUUGUGCUGUCACUUGACAGUGGCAAUUGAAAAAAAAGGAAAGUGGGAAGAGAUGCUGUGGUGGGUUUGGAAUCCUGCACACAUGCUUGGAUGGUUGUUGGUUUCUUCUUCCUUUUCUGACUUCUGCAGCUUGCCACAUGUUAUUGUUCGUUCUAACUAACUAAAUCACACUGUGUCAGAGCCUUUGCUUUGUCCUUACUUUUGCUUGGACUGGCCUGACUUGAUUCUACUACUAUACUGUACUUUGCUUGUAGUGCUGUCUCCUCUGCUCAUAUGCAGCUAGUUCUAAAAGGUUACAUAAACCUCUAAUUGUUUGGAGGUUUCUGCAGAAGCUAGUAAUACUAAUACCCACUUCUGGUGCAUGCAAAUGCAGUGGUCAAUUGGUCAUACUAAUAAUUUGAAGGAUUGCUACUAUGUGUGGAGAGUUUAUGGGAGAUGAAUUUGCUAAAAGGAAUCCCUCAUACAUAUAUAUUGUGGAUACUGUCUACUAGUACUUUUAUGUGAGGGGCGGCUUAGUACAAAGUUGCUGGGAAAGAAACCAUAAUUAAGAGCGUUAGCUAGGAGUUUGACAUUGUUGCCACAUGCACUUGCAAUGCAAUAAUCCACCGCCUUAUUAUUCUAGGACAAUCAUGGAGCUAGUCUUCAAGUCCAACAUGUUAACAGGGUGGAUAAUCUUCAAGGGGACCUAUCACCAGAUACGUUACCUAUCUUCAAGGGUGCAUCAAUCCCCAGAUUCGAGAUUUAAUAAUAUUCGUGUACUCGAAUUUAAGUAGAAGAAUCUCCAGUGUUGCAUAUGUUACUAUGCAGUACUUGUACAGGAUGAUUUAUGAACUGCAGAGUGUGUUUUUUACCGAAAAACUGCAGAGUGUUGACUGUGCUAUUGGACUGUGACUGUGAUGUGCAGGAUCCAGAAGAAUGGCCUCUCAUAGCGCCAUUGCCGUCCUACGGGCGCGGGAGGGAAAGAUUAGGGCCACGGCACAUUAGCCUAAUCCAUGGUGAAAACCUAGACGACGUUGUUAUCACAGGUACACAAACUGUUUUUAACAGUCUCCACUUUCAAGUUUUGGUCAGUAAAAUAAAAAAAAUAUUGCAUGCAAAUCAGAGAGCCAGUCGGUGGAUCAAUUUAAGCAUAAAUUCCAGUUUGACUGUACUUUUGAAUUGCUUGGCUUUGCGUGUCAGGUAGCAAUGGGACCAUAGAUGGCCAAGGCAGGAUGUGGUGGGAGCUAUGGUGGAACCGGACUUUGAACCACACCAGAGGUCAUCUUAUCGAGCUCGUGAACUCGACAAAUGUCAUGAUCUCCAAUGUCACUCUACGCAAUUCCCCGUUUUGGACGGUGCAUCCGGUCUACUGCAGGUAUCAGUUUUAUCAUGCUGAUACAUUGGGUUUAUACCACUUUUUUUUUUACCAAAUUGGAUUUAUACCACUUCAUUUCCUUGUAGAGAGCCAUUUUGAUUUAUUUUUUCUUAGUUGAAAACGAAUAUUUGGUGAUCACAGAAACGUGGUGAUAAAGGAUUUGACAAUACUAGCUCCCCUGAAUGCUCCCAACACCGAUGGCAUUGAUCCAGGUUUGUGCUCUUCAAUUGACAGCACUCUUCUCUCUCAGAUAUGCAAUUAAUUAACACUCCUGGAAAAAAAAUCUAGUUCUAAACAUGGCCCAUCACUGAUUUUCGUACUGCUUAAGAUGAUAUAAACAGUAGUCCUACAUGUUUUCCUUCCAAAGUACAAAAUUACAAUUUACAGUGGCUAUCUCUGUUCUUCAUACCUUACUACCCUCGUCCUAGAUGAUGAAUGAUGAUGACCCUUUUAUACUAAUUAACCACAGGCUGGCUUAAUUUUGCAAAGAUCUCAAACUAGUUUCUCUUGAUGAAACAAUUACAUGGCAGACUCAAGUUCAGACGUUUGCAUCGAGGACUGCUACAUCGAAAGCGGAGACGACCUGGUCGCCAUCAAGAGCGGGUGGGACCAGUACGGGAUAUCUGUGAACAAGCCCAGCACCAACAUCAUCAUCCAGCGUGUCUCCGGCACGACUCCGACGUGCUCAGGCGUCGGCAUCGGCAGCGAGAUGUCCGGCGGGGUAUCCGGGGUGCUCAUCCGGGACCUCCACGUGUGGAACUCGGCGUCGGCGGUCAGGAUCAAGACCGACGUCGGGCGCGGCGGGUUCGUCACCAAUGUCACCGUAGCCAACGUGACCAUGGAGAGAGUCAAGGUGCCGAUCAGGUUCAGCCGGGGCUCCGACGACCACUCUGAUGACAAGUAUGACAGAACGGCAUUGCCGACGAUCAGCGAUGUUCGGAUCGUCGACAUUGUUGGAGUCGACGUGCAGCGGGCCCCAAUUCUUGAGGCGGUGCAUGGUGCAGUUUACGAGGGAAUCUGCUUCAGGAAUGUGAGCCUGAGGCUGAGAGAAGAGGUCAGGAGGAGGCAUGCUGGGUGGCAGUGUGAGUCUGUGUAUGGGGAGGCUCAUGGGGUUUUCCCUGAGGCUUGUGAAGAGCUGAGGCACAAUGGAUCUUCUUCUUGGUGUGGCCUUUCAUGAGAGCUAUUGUACAUAACUUGUAGGGUUUUUCUUAUGAGCUGAGAUCGAGACGUGGGGUGCAUGUCUGUAUUUGUGCUAGAGAAGGAUAAGGGAUAGAGUUUACAGUGAGACUAAACAUUAGACAUGUCUUAUGGAGUGUAUGUAUUUUUGUGCCUAAAGAAAGAUAAUGGGGUAGAAUUUACAGUCCAGUCUCAACAUUUAGACAUGUAUUCUUCUGAGGGGUUUUCAGUCAUGCAGAGUAAAAGGAAAACGCUUCGCCUUUAUCUUUCCAACAAUGGAAAACCUGGUAGUCUAACCAUGCUGCUACAUUCCCUUUUUAUUUAAAGUUGUAUUAGUUUUAACCGAUGAAGGCAAUAUAGAUUUUCCGGAUCCAGAGAAACUUGAGGUCAAUGUUAUUUGACUUCUUCAUAUAGAAUUUUCCUUUUUAUUUCAAGUUUUAUUAUCUUUAGCGAUAAAGGCAAUCUGAAUUUUCCAGAUCGAAAAAUCAGCUUCUUCAUGUAGAAUACUCACCGUAUUUAUUACUAUAUUGCUUCAGGAGUAGCUAAAUUUAUUUCCCUAGAUGUCUUUAAUCAGGUUUAUAUGAGUGAUUUCUUAUCGUCUUCCCAGGCAGUUCCACCCAAAGGAAACAUUUCUCUACGGUUACAAGGUUUUCAUUUCAACGCCAUACACACGGUUUAACAGAGAACUACACGCAGAGGUUUCUCCUAUAGGGUCUCUAGCAUAAGCACCCACCCGUAUAAACAUGCUAAAAAGACCGAGGGAAAAACUAAACUACUUCAUUUCACAAUAUAGCUUACAUACGGUUUUCUCUUUCGGGAACCCCCGAAGGGUUCACAUAAAGAUAAAGAAAUUACCUUACUACUUUCCCAGUCUUAUGUUACAAAUGCCUUAAUUACACAAGCUUUAUUACAGUGGGAAGUGGUACUACUACUAGAGAACAGAUAGUUUUCUGGCUAGCUGCCCUGAACUACUUGCUGCUCUGAAGGCUUGUGUUGUGCUCGAUGAUUGUGUGUCCUCCAAUGCUGCAAAGAGCCUCCUUAUAUAGGCACCAUGGCUGGCUCAAAUAGUGCUCCCAUGCAUUAUUUACCUCACCUUUUUCCAUGUCCAUGAUGCACCUUCUUUAUAGCCUUUGGAUGCAUGCAUGCAUGGUGAUGAGGGUCUUUUGGCUGCCACUUCACUCUUUGGUUGCAUACGAACUCUCUCUCUCUAUAUAUUUAUAUAUAUGCAUAUCACUAUAUAUCUGUGAUUUGUGCACUUUUGGGGUCCCAUAUGCCUCAUCUGAUCUGCUACAGGAUGACCUUACCUUCGCGAGGAGAAAGUGAAUUAGCUAAAAAGUAAUGCGCUGCUCUUGAGAUCUAAAGUAAUUAGUGAAAAGUAUUCAAGUUGUUAAAGGAUCAUAGAGUGUGUGGUUUUCAUUCCUCUCCCAUGGGUUAAGAACUCUUUUCUUAUUCAUUGCUCUCUCAUCAAUGGUCCCACGUACAACUACACUGAUCAACCUACUGACAAAAGAUCCGUAAACGAAUUAACAUCAGCUAGGAAUAGCGGUCAAUUUGAAAGAGUAAAUGCACAUGUACCCUGCAGCGAGCUAGAAAGCCAUCUCACCAGAGCAGAACUGGUUCCCGGAUGGGUCGAUUGGUAAGUACUUUUUCAAGAACGAGGUCUUCACCCAGAUAUUGCCACAUAAGAAGACUUCUCCGCCUGUAUCAGAUUGUGCAGGAGAGUAAUGACGGUGGAUUUGAGGAACCACGACGAGCGGCAGCCCCGCUGCCGCCGUUUCCUUCCUUGGUGGUCACCUUUGCUUGCACGUUCAUGUAAAUCUGCAAAAACAGCCACCAAAUUCCCCAAUUCGAACCAAACUGUAAGACAAUGACAUAUUCUUUCCUUCCACAAUACCACACAGGAAUUCAGAGAAUCGCCAACCUGGAGGAACGAUUCCAACUCAAUCUCGCCGCCAUGGAAAUCCGAGAGAACGGGGACAGUGCGCCAUGCUGGACGAGAGGAGGCCACGUGCCGUUGCCUCGCGACGGUGGAGAUCCAUGGCGCCGCGCGUCGGGGGUCCAGCGUGCUGCUUGCUCCCGCGCCGUCGUUGGCGGACCCGCUGCUCCCGUGCCGUUGGAGGAAGGAGAGGGGGUGCGGAAGAAGAGAGGAGGAAGGAGAGGGGGCACGUGCGCCCGGCUCGAUCUGUCCGGAGGACUCGGCGCCGACGAAGGGAGGAAGGAGAUGGGGCGCGGAGGAAGAGAGGAGGAAGGAUAGGGGUGUGAGGAGGAAGGAGACGUUUGCACGCGGCGACGAUGGGAGUGACGACGCGAAGUUGGUUGGUUGUGACGGCUGGGCGGAGCCGCGGAGGGGAGAGGAGGAGGCGGGGUUUUUAUUGCGUACGGUGUCAAGGCAAAGCGGAGGGCGUUUUUUUUUCUCGGGUGGGGGCGGACCACAGACGCGGAGGCAGGUUUGACAGGAGACGAAAACGUGUAUGAAACGAACGGUCCGUAUUUUUUAAUAGUUAUUAUAGGUAUAGAUUUUACUCCCUCCGUCGGAGUACCGGGCAAACAGAAAACCUAGCACAGCCAGCACGUUCCAUUUUGGCCUUAUAUCGUAUCAGACACAAACUCUGGGCCUUAUACUGGCCCAAAAUCCGGCAACGGCCCAAACAAACAAAGGGCGGUCCAGGAGAAGAAGACGAGGCGAGCACGAACAAACGCUGCGACCUCUUCUCCCACCCCAAACGAGCAGAGAUGGCGGCGGCGGUCGGCGGCGCGGGCAAUGGAGCCGGCGAGGAGGCCGGCGGCGCGGAGUUCUACCUGCGCUACUACGUGGGGCACAAGGGCAAGUUCGGGCACGAGUUCCUCGAGUUCGAGUUCCGCCCCGACGGCAAGCUCCGCUACGCCAACAACUCCAACUACAAGAACGACACCAUGAUCCGCAAGGAGGUCUUCGUCUCCCCCUCCGUCCUCCGCGAGGCCAGGAGGAUCAUACAGGACUCUGAGGUCUUCAAUUCCUCUUCUUCCCAUAAUUAUUUUAUCUGUUGCGAGCGGAAACCUAGGGUUAGGGUUGGGUGCUGAAUCCUCUGCUUGGAUUGGUUUUGCCUGCAGAUCAUGAGGGAGGACGACAACAACUGGCCGGAGCCCGACCGGGUGGGCAGGCAGGAGCUCGAGAUUGUCAUGGGCAACGAGCACAUCUCCUUCACCACCUCCAAGAUCGGCUCCCUUGUUGACGUCCAGACCAGCAAGGACCCCGAGGGCCUCCGCAUCUUCUACUACCUCGUCCAGGUAAUUCCAUCCUAAUCCACCAUAUUUAUUCAUUCAUUGCUUGCUUUGUGCAUGGGGUGUGCUAUUACGCGCUAAUUGAUGGGUUGCCCAAAUUAUACAAUUGGAUAGAUAUGCGCUCUGGCUGGUACUUGCUAAACUAAGCAAAGCGCAAUUGCUGUAUGAUAUCAAUGGUAUUGUUUGGUUCAUGUUUGUUCGCCAGGGAGAGGUUCUGCUGGCUCCUUUGUAAGCUUGCUGAUAGAAGCACAUAGCUUAACUGUACAGUGGAAGUACAUUGCUUAAGUGUACAUAGCUCAUAUUUUUGACAUACUUCCUGCAGUUAUAAUAUCGCUUCUAUUCCAAGGGUAUUAAUUAAAAUUUGAUACAAACUCGGAAGCCCGUUUAUGGAUUCACCAUCAAUUUGUACUGCUGCUGAACAGCCCUUGUGCUGAACUCAUGCAUGGUAUACUGAGAUAUAUACUUAAUAAUCAAGAUAUAAUUGGCUUCGAGAACAUUGUGAUAAGUUUAUCUGUUUUAUUUUUCAUAGUAAUAUGUUAUGUGUAAGCUCUGGGUGGAGUGUAGCCAUGUCUUCAUUGGCGUUAUAUCUAAUUCAAGGUCAUUGAUUUUGAGAUAAAUGACUAGUCAAUUUUGAGCUUAGUUGUCAAAUUGUCUUCUUUUUAUUCAUAUUUUGCACCAUCAUGUCAGUUGCCAAAAGGGGGAAUCAAUUUCUUAUUAGCUUCUGAGCACCAGUUAUUAUAAGAAACUAGCGUGCCUGCUAUCUAAAGGAAGCAGAGCCACAAUCUACCUUUUGGUGUGUAGUGUCAACAAGCCAACAAGCUGAAAACUUAAGACACAAAAUGUCAGAAAAUACAACCUUAGAAUUUGUCAGUUUGACAUCUGUCAACAUCCUUUCUAUUCCUGAGUAUAUCCUCGGCUCUGGAUUGGCCAGUAAGCACCUGUAGGGAAGAUGUAAUAAAAGAAAUGAUAGAGGCUCAAAGAAAAGAAGUAGCGGACAAGAAAGGAAACAAGAGGAACUAUUCCCCAAAUUAGCAGGAUAUUUCUCGGCAGCCAUACAACUGAGCAGUCUGUAAUACUUUCAGAUAAGGUUUCAGCUUUGGAUGGCCAUAUACUUUUGUAUGCUGUAACACUAAGAGUUGUCAGGACUCUUACUGGAUGGCCUUAUACUUUUUUUUGUCUAAAUUAGCAUUUAGCACCUAAGGAAUACCAGGUCGAGUCAGAGACAACACACUGAUUAUAAUAUCCACCCCCUAUGUUGCACUGUAUAAAUAGCAAAAAAAAUGCUGUCUUGUUUCUAUGCAUGUGAUUUUAAAUUUUUGCAAGUAGAAGAACUGGAUCAGCACACUUUGCUUAAAAUUAAAAGCCCAGCUGUUUUGCCAAACAUAAGUGGUACAAUUUAGCUUUUAUGGUUGUCUGGUGACUUUGUUAAUUAGCAUCAGCACAUUCUGAAUUUAUUUCCCAUCAUCUCUACCUUGAAUCUUGCGAACUAUAUGCACGCAGUGUGGAAGGCAGAUUAAGAUGUUGUAAUAACACCAAGAGCCCUCUUAAAACCACCAAUUUCUUAGUAUUCCUAUUACCUAACAUGACAGACUAUUCCAGAUGUCAUCAGAAAUUUACUAUGUUGCUGUUCAUUAGUAUAAUAGAUGGAUGGAUCAGGGUUCAUUAGAAAUUCUGCAAGUUUUUGUCCUAAAGUUGACACCCUAUGAUAGGCUUAAUUGAGUUUAUGAUUGUCUAAAUGUUAUCUGUUUCUUGCAUGUUUCAUUACUAUUUUGGGGAUACUGUUGUUGUUUAGUAAAGAACCACUAGGUGUUGUUGUGUCUCACUGUCUCACUCUCAAGUUGACAGUAAGAUAUCAGCUGUAAAAAACAAGGAACCUUUAAGGGCACGUAAGUGGGAAAGUCUAACAUAGUAAGGCCUCUAUUUUGCCCCACUUCUAACGGCACUGAUUAUUUGUCUCUUCUACUUAAAGAAUUUGACCAAGAUAAUCUACCAUAGAUUUGUCAUUCAUCCUCAGUCUGCUGCUGCAUUUGCUUAGUGGACAAAUAAUGACAUGGACGUCUAAUGAUCUUCGUUUUGCCUCAGUUCUGACGGCAUUGUUUAUUUGAUUCUUGUGCUUAAAGAAUUUGACCAAACUCAUCUACCAUAGAUUUGUUAUUUCAUCCUCGGUCCUCUGUUAGGUUUGCUUAGUGGAUAAAUGCGAUGGACUACCAUUAAUAAACUCUUGACUACAUUUAAAAGAACUGUUAGUGGCAUGCACAUUCUAGUUAAAGUUUAAAGUGGGUGCACAAAAGCACGUGAUAAGCUGCUUGUGUUAACCCCACACCAAGAUUAUUGACUAAUUGAUUUAAUCUCUUCUCAGGAUAACUAGUAUUUUUUGUUAAGCACAGUACUGUGGAGUUGUAACUGGAAACUAUUCCUAACCUGUAUUAAUGUUUUUGUUUGCAGGACCUGAAGUGUUUUGUGUUUUCACUUAUCAACCUCCACUUUAAGAUCAAGCCUAUUCAAUCCUGAGCUUCUUUCUGUCUCCCAAUUGUGUUAUGGUACUGUUGAGUGUUAGAGAAUUCUGUAUUAUGUAACUUGCAACGAGUCGCUAGUGAUGCAGUUUGGGAUGUGUGUAGAACACCGGGGUGAUAUCUUGGCAUCACCAAAAGUUGUUGGAUUGUGCAAACUGCGAGUGCCCGUUACUCUAGUAGUGAUAUUUAUGAAUGUUUCUUUCCCACUGUCAUGUUCUUUUUAAAAAUAUCAGUGCAGCAUUACUUCCUACCACCUUUCUGGUUCAUGCUGAGCCUACUGCUGCCUUAUUGACAGUGCCCAUCACUAGUUUAUUGAUCCAUCAAGGCAACAUACAGAUCUCUUUGCCACUUCUGGUGCAAAUCAACAGGCUUCCAACUGUUUGGAGGACUGUACUUCCAAGUUUUUUACUGCUCCAGCAUCAGAGAUAAUCUUUGAUUCUCCACAAAUUCUUUCAUGGUUUGUGCCAGCAAAACUGACUGAUAAAAAGAGGCCACAGCCCACGAGGUACGAAUGGAAGGAACCUUUCGUUUUUUGCAAAGCAGAAUAGUGUGAUUAAAGGCUCCAUCGGUCCUAUGUAGCUAUCUUUAGCCUGUGAUUAAAGGCUCCAUCUUUAGCGUGAUUAGUGGCAUCUCAGAAGCACUGUUUGGUACACCGUACACCCUUCUUUUGGCUUUUGCUACAGCAGAGCUUUGCAUUACAUGGAGAGUUUACUUUCUUUUCAUGUAAAGAGGAUUUAUAGUGCAAAAGGAGUUGAUGUCCUGUGUCAUGCAGAUAUCUUCAUUCCCCUCUUGGAAGCAGUAAAACAUCUCUAGCAGUGGGCAACUUGUUGAAAGGGAAAUGCAAAAUCAUAGUAGUAGCUGGAAAAUUCAAGAGAUGAUUACGAAGCAGGAGGAGAAAUGAAAUAAUGCAAUGAACAGCACAAGGUGAUGGAAACAAACCUGCUUCAGGUGUACCCUGACCCUGUACAGAGGGAAACUAGCUAAUCUGCUUUUCGGUUUUAUCCCCACUAGUAGUCUAGUACUACUCCUAAAUGAUAAGAUCAGGAUGAGCAUGUUACUUCACUCAACACUGUGGCCUUUCCUUUCUUUCAAAAUCCAAAAUGGUCCAGACAGACAAGAUUCAUCAUCUCUGUGGCCCAAACCAAAUUUUAACGAAACAUCUCUUUCAUGUUGGUGCUACAUUGUCUUUUACUCUUUACCAAACGUCUUUACUGCUAGUAAAUUUCUACUUGCCAUUUUUAGCCAAAAGCACUUGGUUUUAUCUGUCAGUGUAUAUUGGCAGUGCAAUUGCCUGAUAACUGGGCAGGGUUUAGGGGAUUUCUUAUAGGACAAAAGAAUAGGUGCAGUUUGAUUUCUCCUAUGAUCCCUAUUUAACUACUGUAGUUAAAUAAACAUCCUGCCUGAUUCGAAAGCAUGAUGAUCAUUAGUUCGAAGGUGAUAUGUUCGGAAGUUUAACAUAUGUUCGAAGAUUUCUCCUAUGAUCCCUACUGCACCUAUACGUUCGAAGGUUUAAUAUAUGAACGCCCAAUCAUCUUCGUCUUCGCCGGUCUUUGCACAUAAGUUUGGCCCAACACUUUAUUAAGGUAUCUUUGGUUACGGUGGGAGCAGAGUAGAUAUGAACUUCAUAUACUGAAACGGAAGUAGCAGUAGUAGUAUCAUCAUCUUUGAGUGAGUGGAUGCAGUAAUAAAACUCCUUGGACUCGCAGUUCAACAAAUAUCAUCUUGAAUAUUACUAGCAGUAUUUAUACUAAGUUACACUGGAUUUGUUUCACAAAGAAAAGAAAAAAAAGUUACACUGGAUUUAAUUAGACAGCUGUAGUAAACGACGUAGCACGUGUCAUUACACGUGCGCUACACUAGUUACGUACAUCUGUAGAUACGUGUAUACAUGAUCGAAUACGUAUUUCGGUAGGUUCCCUGAAUACGUCUUCAAGACGUGAGAAGCAGAGAGCUCUGGUGCAGUAAUUCAGUUGGUGGUGUUGAGGAGGGCGAUGAUAUCGAGCGCGACGGAGCAGAGCUGCCCGAGCGCCGCCUCCCUGGUCGCCAGCUCCGCCGGGAACGUCGCCACCGGCGCCGGCGCCGGAGAAGACGACGACGACUGCCGCCGCUGCGCCCGGAAGAAGAGCGCCCGGCAGACCCUGGGGUACUCGGCGGCGGCGCUGACGUGCACGGCGGCGUAGUCAUAGUCCCGCUCCUCGAUGGACCCCCUCGCCGCCGCCAGCGCGUCCCUCGCCUCGCCGUACUUGCCCGCGCACGUCCGCAUCACCAUGGCCGCCGCCUGGGCAUCUCCCCCGGCGGCGCCGCCCUGCGCGGUUCCCGUGGUGUCGUUGGCGCCGACCCCGAGCGCGGCGGCGGAGGCGGAGGCGUUGGAUGCGGCGGCGGCGACGGCGAUGGCGGAGAGGCCCCGGAGGUCGGCGGUGGCGCUGCUGGGGUCGGCGGCCAGGGCGGACACGCAGAGGGAAGGGUACGUCGUCGAGUUGCAGGUCGCCCGGACUAGAGCUGCCGCCGCGGAUGGCGGCGCCAUGAUUGGGAUUGGGAGCACUGAUGGCGGAGCUGGCGAGAUUGGGGAUGGUCGUGGUGGUGGCGAGUGCUUGGUGGUGUGGCUGCCACCAUGGCUCCCGUGGUGGGAGGCCAUGGUGGUGCUGGGCGCGAGGAGGAAGACGACGACGAGCACGAGCUGGGUGGCGGCGUUCAUGAUCGCCAUUAAUUAAUCUAGUGGAUAAAUAUGGAUUACAGACUAUCAGUUUGCUGCUAGCUGUACGUGAGAUGGCUACUUGGUCUAGUGAGUGAGGACACUGAGGAGAGUGAUGAGCUUAGCUUGAUUAGCGAGCUCGAGCUUGAUGGGUUGUUUGGUGAUGGGAGAAGGGAAGGGAUGCGAUGGGGUUUUAUAGGAGGAGGAGGAGGAGGGGGGAUCAUGGAAGCUUAGCUGAUGGUUCCUUGAGGAGUGUAUAGUGUAGUCUGGGUCUGGUCAAGUCCAUAUAUGCGUAUAUGCACGUGGACUGUGGUUGCAUGCCAAAAUUGACUCCUAAUUAUCUUCUGCCUAAUUUAAUUGCACAAGUGGAGCUAGGCCAGGCAGCAGAAGUCCACGAUGCCAUAUGUGCUUUCGAUCUUUACUUCCUCGUAUGAUUUGCAAAUUGAAACGGCUUAUUUUCGUCACUGUAAAUUUUCGUGUUUUUCUCGUACGUUAUAUGUUUUUUCUCCCUUGCUAUUUUUGGAUCGUGUAGUGCGCGUGACCAUCUUUUAAAACAGGAUUAAUUGCACAAAUAAACGGACAAAGGUGGAGCCGACAUGCAAAAAAAAAUAUGAGUUGCCAGAGAUAAACGCGUACGUAGUCACAUCAGAGUUUGGAUUAUCGUUCAGGUGGUGGGUAUACUAUGUGGCAUUCGCGAUCGAGGUCACUAUUCAUGGCUUUAUCGACAAUUUAAAAUCGGAGGGAGAGUAUUAUAUAUAAUUACUUUGUCCUCGCCAACCUCCAAUGUUGCUCUUUGCCCCUAGCUGCUAUAGCAAAAUCCUGACUCCUCCUCCCUUGUUCAUAUAUAGCUCUCAUAUAUUUAUGUUGUAUAUGACAUGUGUGCAUUCGUCGUCGCUAGUGUAAGUGCACGUGUCAAUCUAUUGUACUCGACUACUCGGUGCUUGACCAAUGAUAACUCUGUUAAUAUGUGUUUUUACAUACAUGAAAUUUAUAUCGAUAGAUUCGUUCUUAAAAGUUCUUUCUAAUAAUCAUGAUUUUAUAUCAUAUACGUUACAUAUUAAUAGAGUAAUUUUUUAUCAAAGUCUUGUCUUAACGAAACAAAAUACGCCAAACUUUGUGAAAAAGAGGGAGUAAAUAAAUGGAAGUGCUUUAAAAACACACGAAUUAGUUGGUUGAAUUCGUCUCCGUGUUUCUCGUGUGGAUCGAACGCACACCCUCCUAGCUUAGCUACUAAUCUUAGCUUGGGUAGCACGUUAUAGGAAUUAAUUAACAAUGUCAGUGCGCUAUAUACACUCCAUGACGUAUAUUCAGUUUCAAGUUUUGGUAUACACAUUCAUGAAUAUCUGAUACGAGUGCGUGUGUGGUAGCAAAUUAAUCAAGCUAGCUCAGUGGGCUGAGAACUACUUUUGUUAAUUAGCUAAACGUGUUGACGACGGGUCGACAUUGCAUAGUGACUUGGUGAGUCAUGGGGCCAAGUAGGACGUGUUUGACUAUUGCAGUACUGCUGCUGUGCGCAUAUACGACGAGAAAUUACUAGGAACAAGAAGAAGGAAGUUGGCAGAAUCCGGCAGGGUUCCUCUAACUGCGACAAGGCCGGAGUGUCUAUCAUAUCAAGCUGGCCGUGUCAAUAGUCAAGGAGCUAUAUGAGUAGACAGUACACGCAAUGCACGUUCCACAUGAAAUAUCUCAUAUUUCCCCCUCUCUCUCGAACCUGCAUGCAUUCUGCUAUUGUCAGUGUUUAAAGUUUCGGAUCGAUGACUGCUUGCUGCUCCCUCCGAUUCUAAAUUGUUGUCGAAAUAUUUCAUGUAUGUAGACUUUUUUAAAAAUAGAUAUACAUCCAUAUUUUAGCAAAUUUGAAUCAGAAGUUAAUUAAGCUAGGCUUGCAGUUAACUAACUCAACUAGCUAAAAUCGACACGUACUCUACGCGUACACACACUUGUAAGAUUCUAGAGUAGAUGGUUAAUUAGAUUCACGUUCCAGUACGUUCGAUCGAGUACACGUUGAGUAUCUAGCUACUUUUGGACAGCCGCCGCUACUCGAUUUCGGUUCAUAAUCCACGGUGUACGUGCUGACAUAUACUGAUCGGGAAUUCUCCGUACGUAUCUGGUGGCUUCUGGACACAUUAGCCGCUCUACCUACCCACUUAUGUACUCUCUCCAUUCUAAAAUGUAAAAAGCAAAUAUUUUCUGUUAACUGUGAAAUUUUCUAAAGUUUGAUCAAUCUUUUGAUUAACAAAACAUAUGUAAGACGCAGAUGAUUAAAUUCAUUGUGAAAUAUAUUAUCAUAAUAUCUUAGUUUGAUACUGUAUACUUUGAUAGUACUAUUUUCAUAGUAUAUCAGUCUUACUUAUCGAAACUUGCGUGCAGCUAGCAGGUUGAUUAGAGGUGGCAUCCUUUCUCUCUCUCUGGAAAUGCAAGUUUGUACGUAUAUAAUGACUAAAGUACUAAAGUAUACAGAUACUUCAGGUAUUUAUCCAUAAAUUUGUCAAACUAAAGUACUACAGAUACAUAGCGAAAUCUGCACUAAUUCCUAGCUAGUAGCUAGGUUAAUUAAUUGCCAUUGCAAAAUUUGAUUUGGAUUUGAUAGUGCUCUCUUCUUUUUUCAGGUGGGCUAUGA